CUCCCUCCCUCCAUCAAACCUGACUGAAGCCUAAAAGUCUCCUUUUCUUUCAAAAAAAAUGGAGGGUCUUAUCCCUUUUGUGUACAGGGCUAUAAUGCAAUUCAAUAACGGGAAAGAAGCCGGACCUUUAGGGUCAUGGUUCAGUGAGUCACCUUCAGCCUCCUACAUGCGACUUCCUGGCGAUUCAGGUCGGUUUCAGAAGUCCGAUUUACGAAUUCUUGGAUCCGACCACGGCUUCUCUAACUCUUCAACAUCAUCUAAUACGCAUUCUUCAACCACUCAAAUUAUUGUUUCUACCGGAGCUCAAGCUCCUCUUAAUUGCCGUUUGACUUCUCGUCGAGUUGUCUCACAAUCAUGAUCAAGACCCUUGGAAAAACACUGUACGAGUGUGUGACAUGCUUGAAGAAAGCUGAAGGCAUGGAGCUAGCUUGUCAAGGAUGAUGGGUGUGCAGGUAACUAUGUCUAGAGACUUUGUGUGUGUGUAGCAAUCUUAUUUGGUGCCUGUGGUUUCUCAGUUUGGAAUAUGGUAAUAACAAGCGUGUGGAAAACCGAAGGAGCCGCACAGCUUUGUGUUAUUGGUGUGGACGUGAAGGUAAAAAGGAUGUCGGCAUGUGUAAAUCCAAAGGGGCACACAUGCUUUGUAUUAAUCAAUUACCAGCAGCAGCUUAGAUUUGUGUAAAAAUGGAGUUGUAAUAAUGUUUGAAAAAGGUCUAUGUUUCUGUACUGUAAUGGUUCAGUAAUGUCAAUCAGUUCAUGUGAACAUAAUAAAGUUCAAUCCACUUCCUUGCCUUUGGUCAUAGGUGGGAUGUGUUAACAAUUAGCCUUGGCGAUUAUUUGAUGUUUUGUUUCUUAAUUUAGUUUUUUUUUAUUAUUAUUUUUUUGCUUAAUGGCCUAAAUUUCUGCAUUCCAGAGUUUAAUGGGAUGCAGCGAAGAAAAAUAGUAUUUAUGGUUUUUUUUUUUUUUUUUGAUAAGCAAAAUGAAGCCUAUAGAAGGCAAUGUCAAUAACUCAGGGUUCUAUUACGAUAUAACCAGCAGAGCCCAAGGGGUAUAAAACAGAUAACCCAAAAACAAGGAGACCUCCAAGGAAAUGAGCCAUCAUCCUCCGAAAAGACGACAUUGAGCUGACUCAUGUCAUAAGGGAAGUGCGAGAAUGAAGGAGAUAAUGCGAAAACCAGGCCGAACAGAGAUGAAUCAGCUGCUCCACACCUUCACUAACACCAUCUCCAAUUUGCAUACUCUUAAGAGCCUUUGAAGAAGCAUCUGCAAGUUUGUCUGAGAAGCCCUCUUGCACACAUAUUCUGAUUACACAAACACAUGAUUGUCCACUAUUACAGAAACCUUGCCUUUUAACAGUUCCAGCAGCGCCAGCCAUCAAUUUCUUUUUCCUCUGAAGAUCCUUUCUUGAAGAAACUGGAAAAAUUAAUCAGAAAGAGGAGCUUGAUCUGCCAUUACAAGAAAUCUUAUCAUUAAAGCACACUGAAAUAGAAACUGGAGGCAAGAAAACUGUCUGACCAGGAGCUUCCCAAACUCCAGGAAUCACUUGGAACAUCUGAUUCUGCUACGAAGAUUUCGCGAACAAGACAAUGGUCUGACAAUCCCGAAUCGCCUCUGCUGAGAUUUUGAUGCUUCAAUAUCUCUCCAAAACAAAUUAUUCUAGCACACCAAGCAGGGGCAUGCUUCUUUUUACCCUUCAUCUUCUGGUCGUGAACAAACAUUUUGCAAGGCAGAUCGCGCAAAGGAUCACGAGAAUAUGCAUGCCAAAAAUUCUGUAACGAUUGCAUUUCUGGUCCUUCCCUCCAGAAGCCAAAAGACUACAUAGUGGGGACACCAGACCCACACCGCAAAUUACACGGGUAUAUGGAUAGAGAUGACAUAGAAUGACCCAGCCUAUCACAUUUUGAUUAGGAGACUAAGCCCAUUUGGUCUGUCUCAUUGUUAUUUUAUUUAUUUAAAAUUAUUUAUAUUAAACACUUUGAUUUGAUGGGCUGAGCCCAAUAGUGAGAUGUUUUAGGGUUUUACUAUUUAUAUGUUUCUCUGUCAUUUUGUGAGACAGUUUUGAUGAUUAAUGAAAAUAUUGCAGACUUUACAUAUCUUCAAUCCCCUUUCUUCUCUUUUUUAGCUUUUUUCUUUCUCUAAAAGCUUCUUUUUUUUCUUGCUUUAAUUCUUAUUAUUUAUUGUCCCGCAUCAAAUUUGAUAUCAGAGUUAGGGUUUAUAUUGUUCUUACAAUUAAACGAUCCACAUAUUUAUGCUAAACCCUAGAUCUGGUUUGAUCUUUAAAAAAAACACAUUGUUCAUUGUUCAUUGUUCAUCAUCAACAACAGCAAUCAACAACGACGCCUCAACUAAUCACAGCAGCGCCUUAACCAAUCACAGCAGCAGACCCACCACCGAGAAGACCGCCACAUUAGUCCAUAGAUCCACGUCGAUUUACUACCUCCGACACAGACCAGCAGCAACCACCAGAUCGACACCGCAAGAGACAUUAGUAGAUUUUCGGCUUCAGCAACCAAACCAGAGUCACAAAACCACCAGCCACAGCCACCCACAAACCCAUCACAGCCAGCACCGACUGGUGAUUCACAGCAGCAAAGGCAGGGCAACAUAUCUUUAUCUGCAACCAUCCACAGUGCCAUUGCCUUCAGCAGCGACAACAGAUCCACACAUCAACAGGCCCUCGUCCAGCAGCGACACAACAACCCCUUUCAUCGCACCGCCGAUCCCAAACAGAAUCACAGAGCCACGUUUCUUGCGCCAUCGCUGUCAGUAGCGACAAAAGAUUACAGGAGGUAGGGAAGAAGAAAACAGAAGCUCUCAAGGCAAAAUAAUUAACUUCACCAUGUCACCUGCCACAUCAGCACCACGCCACCUGCCAUAUCAGCACUCUGAAACAGCAUUUGCGUCAUCGCCACAUCAGCACCACGCCACCUGCCAUAUCAGCACUCUGAAACAGCAUCUGCGUCAUCGCCACAUCAGCACCACGCCACCUGCCAUAUCAGCACUCUGAAACAGCAUCUGCGUCAUCGCCACAUCAACAUGUCCCACCACGUCAUCUGCCACGUAAUCUUUCGCUGCCACAUCAUCCGGUCAGAAAUUCUUUUACCAAUUGAAUAUCAUCAUUCCUAGUAUGCUUUUACACUUGUUAACCAAGAUUUAGCAUUAAUAUUAUUCUUUGUGCUUGCCCAUAAAUAAAUUACAUAGUCCAUCUCGCAAAUUGAAUUACCUUAAUUUUAGGCUUGUUUAUUGGCAUUGAGUAUCCGAUCAUCUUAAUUAAUUGUGGAGCUUGGUUAAAUUCGUGGGAAAAUUGAAACAUUGUGUUUGGAUUACUUAUGUGCAUUUAGAGGACUUACGUUGCUUGCUUGCAAAUUUUCCUGUUUAAUCUGUCAUUACUUAGUCUCAAAGAUAAAAAUAAAUAAAUAAAUAAAAUAAAAUAAUUUUUUUAAAAAAUAUUAGCUAUAAUUAUAUUUUGCGUUUUUACUUGUAAGUGUUGUUUGUGAUCUUAGUCUUAGGAUUAGUUUUUGCAUGCAUUUAUGUAGUGAUCGUCUAGUACACAAUCUAGAAGUCAUAGCUACCAUGGACUCAAACUCUAGUAAUGCUCUUAGAGAUAUUUAAGAGGAAUUAUAACUUAUACGAACGGAAAUGAACAACAUGUCCAAUCAAAUGAACAACCUUUUUGAGAGGGUGGAGUCCAUAGAAACUUUACAAGUAAGACAGUUUAGUGAGAGUGAACAUUCUAAUGACAACCAUAGGAAUCCUCAAAGACCAGUUCCUUAUAGGAACCACAAACAUAACCAACACCAGGGUCACAAUAACUUUGAUGACCCUAACGAUAGUGAGCGUUCCAAUGAUUAUCGUCAAAGACCAGUUCAUCCUAGGAACCGUUAAUACAACCACAAUCAAGGUCAUCACGACUAUGAUGACCCUGGAGAAUGAGUCAUGAGGCAUAUCAAAGUAGAAGCCCCAACUUUUGAGGGUCAACUUGACCCGUGGAUCUUUGAUAGAUGGAUCCGUGACAUGGAUCAAUUCUUUGACAGGUAUAAUUUCUCUAAGAAUAGGAGAGUAAGAUUUGCAAAGAUGAAACUUAGUGGGAACGCUCAACUCUAUUGGGAAAGUGUAGAAAAGUCUUUUGAUAUGAGAGGUCAACCUCCUAUUACUAAUUGGGUUGAAAUGAAGACUAAGUUAGAAGAAAAGUAUUUGUCUCAUUCUUAUAGAGGAAAUCUUUUGGACCAGUGGAAUAACUAGAGGCAAGGAGGCAAGUCUGCUAAUGAAUAUGUGGCAUAAUUUGAUGAGUAUAGGAUAAGGUGUGCAGUUAGGGAGGAUGAAGUGAUGACCCUAAGUAGAUUUUGAAAAGGCUUAAACGGUGACCUUAGAAGAAAGGUUAUGCUUAGAGGUGUGUCCACCCUUGAUAAAGCUUAUACCCUAAUACAAAAUUAUAACUUGGUCACAAAAAGCCAGUGGAUGAGACGUCAGGACACUCGUAGUACCCCUUCUAGAUCCCAACCUGGUAGUAAUAACUUCAUAUUAGGUGUCCCACCUCGUAAACCCAAUCCUUUAAUUUUGCAGAUACCUAAAGAAGACAAGGAUAAGGGUAUUUUUAUGAAGCACCUAAGAUAACCUUAAGAAUUAAGUGGUUUAAGUGUCAGGGUUUUGUUCAUAUUUUCUCUAGUUGCCCUAAUAAGACUCUGUUUAUCAAGGGGCAAGAGGAUAUGGGUAAAGAAGAUAAUUGUGAUGAUAAGGUAUAUGAACCCAAUCCCAAUGAUUUUCAGGAUCUAAAUGAUGAGGAUGAGUCCAACUUGCUAGUAUGUGUUAGGUUUAUAUCCACUCAAAUCAAGACAACCAGGUUAAGUGUAGUUAGAUGAGCUUUAACACAGCCUAAGGGAACUGAGGAUUGGAGAAGGACUGUUAUUUUUUACACUUGUAUUAAAUAUGGAGAUAAAGGGUGUAAGAUCAUCAUAGAUAGUGGUAGUUGUAUCAAUACAGUUUCCUUGGGUAGUGUAUCCCGUUUAGGUUUAAAGUCUGUUCCACACCCUAAACCCUAUAGUGUAUCCUGAGUUAAUGAUACAUCUAUAGCGGUUAAAGAGAGAUGUUUUUUUUCCAUAAAGAUCUCGGACUAUCAUGAUGAAAUUUGAUGUGAUGUCAUUCAUAUGGAUAUAGGGCACGUCAUUUUGGGUAGGUCUUGGUUAUAUGAUUUGGACGUUACAAUCUUUGAGCGAUCAAAUUCUUGUUCAUUCACUUUUCAAGGUAAAAAAAUCCAACUUAUUGGAUUACCUUUAAGGUCUAAUGAUAAUAGUCAGAAGAAGAAUAAAGUGAAAGAAGGAGGGCUUAACAUAAUAAGUCUUAGAGAGUUUGAUAAGGAGAUUUGUGAGGAGUCUGUUGUGUUUGUUAUAGUGGCUAAGGAGAUUGUAGAAGACUUCUUAGAAGAGCCACCUGAAAAGGUAAGGGAAGUGUUGAAAGAAUUUCUAGAUGUUUUCCCUUUUAAACUACCUGAUGUUUUACCCCUUAUGCGUUAUGAUGUUUAACACACCAUAGAUUUUGUCCCUAGUGCCACAUUCCCAAACUUGCCUCCUGAUUGGAGACCUUAUAUCGAUGCAUGGUUUUGAAGAUUUGAGGUUAGUGUUAACUUCAAAUUUUAUUUAAUUUUUAUGUUAUAUUGAAAUUAUUGAUUUAUUUUUAAUAAAUUAUUUAUACACAUAACAAAUUCGAGUGGGAUAACACUCAUGACAAUGUUGUGAGAAGGGUGUGGGAGAAUCACGUGGCAACUAGGUAACAUGGAAAACGAUACGAUAUUUUUGUAAAAAAAAUUAUAUUUUAAAAUCUAAUUUGUCAUUAACUCAUAUAAAACUCGUUGAUGGAAGUAGGUUGUGUGACUUUUGGUAUGAAGUGUAGAAAAAAGCCAAAAAAAUGUUCUAGAGAUAACGGUUUACAAGGCUGGAAUGACGUGGCGGUUUGGAGGGAUGGAGGCAGGAUUUCAAUCCGGAUUUGUGGAUGGAGGCAAGAUCGUCUGGUGGACCAAAAACAAAUCGGGUGUAUGGACUCUCCAACACUACGGUCGAGAACUUGCGGGCGGCCUGUAGUGUCUCAACCGUUGGGAGCUCUCAAUAAGUAUCGAGCACCCUCCAGUCUGAGGAGAUCGAUCGUGGCCUUGAACAACAUAUGACUCAUCUCACCUAGCAAUAUUAGUAACUCUUAAUAGAUUAUGAACAACUCCGCCAGAUGGUUAUGGACAUGAGAUCACAGAUGGGUGGUACGUGUGCACCUCUUUUUUGGCCGUAUGGUCCCGGGAAUGACCAGCCUCCUCCUCCUCCUCUAGCACCACCAUUGUUCUAGUUUAAUUUUUAUUUGUACAAAUAAAAUUGUAAUGAAUAUUUGGAUUUUGUAUUAUUCAAUUUUAUUUACAUAUUUUAGUUUUAUACAAUUUUAUUUGUUAAAUUAUUUUCUUUUUUUUAUUAUUCUAUACGAAUUAAUAUUAAUUAUUUUGUAUAAUUUUAUUUUUUUAAAUAUUUUUUAAUUAUCAUAGACAGAAUUACAGAUGAAAUAAAUAUGUCGGUAUUUUCCAAAGAGUUGUAAAAUGUUUACUUCAUAUGCCACAACCACCGACGUAAUUAUUUCGUUGGUGAUUUACCGAUGACAAUAUAGAUAAAAUCAUUCCGUCGGUAUAUUUCAGAGAGUUUAGAAAAAUUACUGCUUAUACCACUAUCACCGAUGGAAAUAUACCAAUAGAAUGAUUCUGUCGGCAUAUUUCCAACGAGAAAUUUUUUCUUUUGGCGUGCAUAUUCCGUCUAUAAAACCAUUGGUUUUUAAUUUUUUUUAACUGAUAGAAUUAGCAAUAGAUUAUGAAAUUACCGAUGGAUGUAUUCUAUUAGGGAAGUAGUCGGUAAAAUUUACACCGACGUAAUGGUAAUCUUAUGCUAAUGGAAAAAUUUUGUUGGUAAAAAAGUUAAAUGUUUUUUUUUUUUAAUGCCUGGAAAGCUCGGAUUUUACUUUUUUUUCUUUUGCUUAUAAUCGGAAAGGAAUAUGGUAGGAAGUGAUUGGUGAUGGUAUUUAUGUGCCCAGUAUGUUGAUGGGAAUGCUUCGGCCUCUACAGCAAAUAGGAAACUUCUUGACAAGUCAAAGUGCUUUUAAACGUCAUUUAAAAGCUAUUUUCAACUGCAUCGUUUUGAUGUUUAAAAACUUUUUAAAAUUACUUUUUUGAUAGCAUGUAUUAGUAAACAAUUUUUGCAUUCACAGCCACACCUGUUCAAACAAUUUAUUUUUAAUAAAAAAUAAUUUAACUGAACUGAAUGUGUUUUUUUUUAAAUUGAAUUAAAUAAAAAAAUUAAAUUGAUUGAUUCAAUUUGGUUGAGUGUUUUAUAUUUUAAAAAACUAAAUCUUUUAGUUAGAAUAUAAUGAUUUAUUUUAUUUGAUUCCUUAAAAUUUUAUUUUUUCUUGUUAAUUUUUUUAUAUUUUUAUAUUAUUUUAAUGAAUUGAUUUUAAAAAUAAUUUUUAAAAAAUAAAAAAAAUAUUAUUUAAAUAUAUUUAUAAGUAAAAAAAACUUUAAACUACAACGAUAUCAAAAUCUCAAAUAGACUAACAAUCAACCACCGUUUUGGUGAUUUAUGCUAAACUCAAUCAACAAUAUGUAUUUAUUUAUCCACUGACAAGCGGACUUAACACUAGAAAGUCGAGCAUGUAAUGUCUGAAAGUCAGGCAUCUGAUGUUUCACCAUCCCAUAGUUCGUCGAGUGUCUUGUAUGAACCAUAAGUCUCGUGCACAAACACAGUGCCCUUAACCAGCCUCUCCUGCAUGAUAGAAUCACAAGUUCAAUCAUCUAAAUCACAGCGAAAACACUACUUUUACAUAGCUUAUAAUCCCAUAAAAUCUACUGCCACCCCAUGAUCCAAAAAGCUUAGUAAUUAUCUUGAUCUAAGCAUGCGCUAGUGCAAAGGAGAACUUAACACCUGCUGCCCGAAGCACUUUCUAUAAAUUCAUGGCAGAUUCUAUUGAUCUAACCUUGAGGAUCAUAUGCUAAAUGGAGCAAGUGCACAGAAAAGUUUACAGGCAUAAAACGUUGAGGAAGAAAUAACCACUGACUUGCCUGUUCAAUUCCAGAUAACUUGGCAAACAAAUCUUCAGGAAUAGACCAGUCAAAAAUGUCAAGGUUUUCCUUGAUCCUUGCCUCAUUUGUGCUCUUAGGAAGCACACUGUGGCCCAUCUGUAGUCCCCACCUAAGAGCUACUUGCGCAGGAGAUUUGCCUAAUUUCUCAGCAAUCGUAUUAAGAAUUGAAUUCUUGAGAACCUGGGUCUUGAUCGUUCCUGCAUCUGGGGAACCUAGCGGUGAAUACCCCUACAGAAAAAAAGAAAACAAAUUCUAUCAUAAUUGUUAUUUGGAAACUCGAAUAAACUAUAACGAUCUACUUCUAUUCACACUCACAGAUAAAUGGACACCCCUGGAUUGACAAAAUUCAUGAAGCUUUGGCUGCUGCCACACGGGGUGACAUUCGACUUGGUUAACAGCUGGAGGUACACGAGCCGCGGCUAGCAAAUCCCCAAGCUUCUUUGAUGAGAAAUUACUAACUCCAAUAGCACGAGCCUUGCCAGAAUCGUAAAGUGCCUCCAUGGCUCUCCACGUUGCUGGUAUGUUGGUUUGAGUAAGGUUUUCAGGCUUAUAGCCCUCUGAACCCUUCUUCAUGCUGACGGGCCAAUGAAUCUUCAAACAUUUCACCACAUUUUAGUGACAAAAUUUAAUUUCACAGAAGAUAAACUCUGGUAUGGAUAUUGAUUGUAAGAACAUACCAGAUACAGAUCUACAUAGUCAAGCUGCAAGUCCUGCAAAGUCUUCCCUAAUGACUCCGGUACAUCUUCCGGUGCAUGAUCAUUACACCUAUAGAUCAUCAUACUUUCUUUUACAAUCCAGGCAACUGAAGUGCUCAACGAUAUUAUAUAUGUUUUCAGGGAAUUUGAAGAAAUAAAACAAAUCCCCUAACACAUACCAGAGUUUUGAAGUGAUCCACACUUCGCCACGCUUUACUACCCCAUUGUCAAAUAAUUUCUUCAAUGCACAACCAACCUGCAGAAAACCAGCAAUCAAUUCUUGAAAUCAACAACUGAUCUUUCUUUCUAUCUACCAAAAAUGAAACGCUCCUUUUGAUUCUCAGAUCGGAACUUGUUGUAAGAAAACUAUGCGUCAGAACCUCUUUCUCGUUGCAGUAAAGUCGAGCGCAGUCAAUGUGUCUAUAUCCAGCCUGCACAAGACAAAGUCCAGUAUCUCUAUUAAUUAUAUUUUUUGGAUUAAUAAUCCCACGUCAAAUUUAGAACCCGAAAAUCCCAAAUGCAUUCUAGCAAAAUUAAUCGGAGGCAUCUAAAAAAAUUCCUCAAAAGAACUUCGGGCAUGAAUAAAAUACCUUAAUGGCAGCAGUGACAGCAUCAGCGACAGCACCAGGGUCAGCGCGCCAUGUGCCCAAACCAACUGAAGGGAUUUUAGCUCCAGUGUUGAGCUCAAAAAAUGGAAUUGCUUUGGCCAUUUCUAACAAAAACCAACACACUGUCCUAAACUUGGAUUCGCUCCUGUUUUUAUACAUGAAAUUAAUAUUCGUUGAACAUGGACACAUAUAAAUAAAAUAAUAGGAAUUAAAAACCUCCUACGGAAUCUCGAGUCCCGAUUGUUGAAUUUUAUGAUAUACGUAAUGAUUUUUGCUUUGGUUCAUGGAAGAGACGAAGGGUCAGGAAGGCUGUUUAACCGCUGACAUAUGUUCUCACGUCAUGAGUGUGCUGCCCGGGAGAUGUGGCAUUUGAAAUAAGGUUCGGUUAAAUUUAGAUCAAUUAGGUAUCAAUGACAUCAAUUGAUGCCAUAAACUACAUCCAAAGGGUAUAAAUUAAAUCAUUUAGGGUUUAUGUUUAAUUUUGGGAGAAUUGGGGAGAAUUGAUGAUUUUUUCCAAAUUGAUAAUUCUUUUGUGAGAAUUGUUCAUCAAAUUUGCGAGAAUUGAAAUUUUUAUCCAAUUUUGUUAUUUUUCUAUAUUAUAGUUUUUGUAUGUGAAUUUUGAGAAUGGAUAAAUUUUAAUGAGAAUUUAUAGGUUUUGUUGUUUAUAGAAUAUAUCUUCUAAUAUAUGACAUUGUUAUGUCAUUAUGAUGCUACCGAUGAUGUUAACAAUAGUAUUACUUUUAAUUGGAGAAAGUAAUAUCAUUCUUAGUGCUAGAUUUGAUAUUUUAUUAGUCGAAGUCGAAAUGAAACAAGUAAUAUGUGGAGGUAUUUAGUGAAAUUACAAAGAAAUGAAAGUUUGUAACAUAUAUCUUCAAUAUUUCAGUAUAAAUUUCUUUAUAAUAAAUCUAAAAAUAGUAUAAUUAUUUUACUCGAUUGAUGAAACGAUCAACUGAUUUAUCUAUUAGUUCAAUCAAAAGGUUUUUCAUCAAUAAAUAUAUAUCUCUCUCUCUCUCGUAUGGUUGACAAGUCACACUUACAUCAAUUAUAUUAAUGUCAUUACUAUUCAUCCAAGGAAAUAACUAAUUCAAUGCCGACAUCAUAUCCAUUUUAGCUAAUAAACAAAAGCAAAUAAGGUAGAUGUUGAGCAUCUAUUUACUCCUCCAAUCGUUCUAAAAGACUCUAAAUUAGUUUAUUACUUAGCCUCCUCAUCACACAUAUCUCUAAACAUAGACAAAAUAUAUAUUCACAUACACAUGCUUUCACCUACUCAUCACCUAGCUAGUCCUUUUUAUUGGUUUCAUCAUACUAUUUUUCUAAUAUUUUAACCUCUUCCAAACAUCUUAUUCCCAUUUGUAUAGAUUUACAAGCAUUUCUUCAUCAAUUCCCCAUGGUUGUCGAGUCUUCCCAGCAUUUCACAAGUAUUGCUUUCAUUUUUUACAUGAUAUUCUUAUAACAUAAUUUAUUUUAAAUACCUCAAAUGAUGGGUAUUGAAUCAAAAGCCAAUAUUUAUGUUAUUUAAUAUCUAUUACAUUUAUACACUCAAGAUUUUCUUAUUAAUUAUUAAAUCAAUCUCAUUUGUACAUCCUCCCCCCCUUAUUCAUGCAUUGUUUUUGAUAUAAUUGGAGUAGAUAAUUUUCAAGCCAAUUCUUCAUCAACAUCAAUUCCAUUUUCAAGCCAAUCUUAAAUGAUCAAUCAUAUCACACACCAUUAGGUGCCAUGAAAACCCCCAUAUUACCACUUUAAUCACCUAGCUCAGCCAUGGCUGCCUCGACAACCCAUACUCAUGUAUCUUGAAUCGUCAUAAUAAUUCAGGUGGUGGUUGUCACAACAGCCUAUAUUCACACUCUUUUGGGCAUUAAAACAGCUUUUAGACACUUAAAUGUAGGACUAUUACAGUAGCCCUCUUGAGCCCCUUUUUAUACAACCCAAAACAAUCAUAGAGUUCAUAUAUUUCUUCACAGAACUACUGUUACAUGCACAUUCUACCGCCAUUAUGAAUCACAACAAAUUUUUAUGGUAUGUAUACACUUGCACACAAACCAAUUUGGUAGCCAUUCAAUCAUGUUCGCAUUCCAAAGUCUCCCAACUUUCAUACAUAAAAAGGAUGAAUUUAACAUAAUUUAUUAGUACUCAAACUUCUCAUACAUUUCAAGUAAUAUAUAUUCAUAAAACUAUUAUUAUUAUUAUUAUUAUUAUUAUUUCUUUAAAAUUGAUUUACACAAAACAUCAUCGUUUAGAACUCAAACUGAAUCAUUUUGCUUUAGUUUUUACAUAUCAUUUACUUUAUUUCUAAUAUUCUUUCCAAUUAUCAUUCACCAUUUAGUUAAGGAUGACUUAACCCAAUUAACCCACUUGAUAUCUUUAUAAAUAUUCUCAUCAUUCUAUCAUUAGCACUGACAUUUCUUUACCAUUACUUUUCUCAUCACUUGUAUUUAUAAGUCUACUAAAUUGGUUUGUGUAUAAGUGUAUACAUACCAUAAAAAUUAUAGUAUAAGUUUCUUUAUAAUAAAUCUGAAAACAAUAUUUAGGUAUAAGUUUCUUUAUAAUAAAUUUGAAAGCAAUAUAAUUUGUUUUAAACCAUUCGAUGAAACGAUUGGCUGGUUUAUUUUGUAGUUCAAUCAAUUGACUAGAUCAAUCUAAAUAUAUUCAUAUUUCUAACUCAUUAAGAUUUUAUCAAAAUUCUGGCAAAAUCUCCUUCAUAUUUGGGUCAUCCCAAGUGUCGACAUGAAAAUCAUAUUAUAUAUAAUAACACUUCAUAAUCACAAACACCACAAGCUCAUCAACCCACUUUUGACUCAAUCAUCGUGGAUCUCAUCUUCUCAUAUCUAUCAUUCUGUUAUUUAUUCUCAUCAAUUCAUCGCACUAAGAUAUUUAUUAAUUUCACAUCCAUCACAAUAAUUAAAAAAUCAAAACAUUUACAAUAAAUUCUACAUCAACAAACACUUGAUUGUGUGUGUGUGUCCUCCUCAAAUUACAAUGACAAAUAUAAUAAUUAUGUAAGACCUUAGUAUUAUUAGGUUUUAAACAACAAAUAUAUUAUAUCACCUUAAUCAAUCAAUGAUAAUUGUUAGUUUAAUAUAAGGAUAUGUGAAUUACAUUUCAAAAUAGAGUAUCCAAAUUACAAUCUACAAGUUUGAUGUUACACCUAAUAAUCCACAAUUUCAUAAUCUACAUGAAAGCUAUUCUGCAGAUUACCCCUGGUGAGCCUAUGAGUUAUAUGUAACAAAGUCAAUGAAUUUUACUAAGUCACAAGUUAACAUCUCAAUUAACACAUAAAAGGAAAUAAUCAACUUUUUAUCUAAACAAUGUUUUAAUUCAUUCUUUAUAAUCAUCUAAUUUUGUCUUUAUAUAAUUUUAUUAAACCCUAAAUAAAUCUCUUAAUAUUUAUAACUCACAUAAUUGUUCCAACAUUUUCAUAUCGAAGCCAACAAUUCAACACUCUCUUUUGAGUAAUUAUUAUUUUAGCAUAGCUAUCUUAAUUCCCAAUCGGUCCAGUAAUCUCAUUCGAAAAAUAAUAAUAUGGUAUUCCUCGUGAAUACCAAUUUCUCUAACAAACCCAUGUUGAUUACCAAUUAUUCUGGCAUUUCAAUUCAAAAGCCAAUAAUCUGUAUCAAUCAAUACGACCAACCCAUCUUGGUUGCCGAUCAAUCCGGCAUUCCUUAAUAAAUACUAAUCAACCUAGCCAACCCAUCUUGGUUGCCAAUCAAUCUGCCAUUUCUAUUCAGAAGCCAAUAAUAUGAUAUUUCUUAAUAAAUAUCAAUCAAUCUAGCAAAUCCAUCUUGACUGCCAAUCAACCUAACAUUCCUCUUCGAAAGCUCAUAAUCUGGUAUUGGUUAAUGAAUACCAAUCAAUCUGGUCAACCCAUCUUGGCUGCCAAUCAAUCUUGCAUUUCUAUUUGAAAGCCAAUAAUAUGGUAUUCCUUAACGAAAACAAUCAAUCCGACCAACCUAACUUGGUUGCCAAUCAAUCCAGCAUUCCUAUUCGGAAGCCAAUGAUCUGGUAUUCCUUAAUGAAUACCAAUCAAUCCUACCAACCCAACUUGAUUGCCAAUCAAUCCAACAUUCAUAUUCGGAAGUCAAUGAUCUGGUAUUUCUUAAUGAAUAUCAAUCAAUUCGGUUAACCUAUAUUUGUUGCAAAUCAAUUUGGCAUUCCCAUUCAGAAGCUAAUAAUCUAGUAUUCCUUAAUGAAUAUCAAUCAAUCCGGCUAGCCCAUCUUGGUUGCCAAUCAAUUUAACAUUUGCAUUUGAAAUCCAAUAAUUUGGUAUUCCUAGACACAUGUCAUUAAUUAGCAAAGGUUAGCAAAGGUUACAGUGGUUGAGUUAUAUAUCCAAUUCUUUACCUGAUCAAAUAAAAUAUAAAUUAAAAAGUAGAAAGGAAAUGUUAACAUUCACUUCAAACUAAAACAAAAUUGGUUUUUGAAUGUGACUUUCACUGUUCAUGUAAAGGCAAUUGUCUAUUCACCUCAUUAUAAUAUAAUAACCAAAAUUUUCGUUUCUAGUUCCUUGAAAAUUUCUUUUUAAUUGAACUAUGACUAUCUUUCUUUUUUAUAUUAAAAGUUAAUUUCUUAUGUUAAAAAUAAACUUGAAUCCUAUUAAUAUUGUAGCACAUAGACUUAUGGAGUAGUUAAUACUAGAUUCUUGGCCCCUGUUAAGCUGCGAUUUAAAUAAUUUUUUCUAACAUUAAAAAAGUUGUAAAAAUGUUAGAAAGUAAAAAAAUUCAUUGUAUUAUAAAUAAAAUAUAUUUUUAAAAUAUUGAGAUAGUAACAUAUUGGACAACAUAUUUUUUUUUUUAAAAAAAAUUGAGAUAGCGAUACAUUGGCUUAACCUGGGUCAACCAUGAUUGUUCGAUGAAACUUGCAAUUCAGGGCAUAAGACUAUGAUAAUUUCAUAGAACCCAAAUCAAAACAAAAUAGGGAGUUCAAUUUUAAUCAACCAAAUAUUUAAUGCCAAGAAAAAAAACAUUAAUAAAAAGGAUAAAAAAAGCUAUAUUUAAGCAAACAAAAAUAUCAUGAAAUGACUAUAUCAUGCUUAAAUUUAAGCAAUUUAUUUAAUUUAACUAAAAAAUAAAAUUUCUUUUUAGAAAAGCUAAAUUUAAUAAAGAAUGACAAAUAAAAAAGCUGAGAUAACCCAUAUUAUUUUUAAAAUUAGUGAAAAAUCAUAUAAAAAAACAAAUAAAACAAAUAACAUAGAUCAAUCUCUAAUUAACUCAAAAAUUAAAGGAUAAAACUAAAAAAAUAUGAGCUAAAAAAACAAAUUAAAUUAACCUUGGCAAAUUUCAUAAACCGUGGUGAUUCAGAAAACACCAAGGAGGGGUUUUUUUAUCACCAUUAGUGUCGCCGUAUGCACCAUUUGAACACAUUAAGGCGACUUACUUCCUAACGUGUCAAUGUACAUACCAACUACCUUUUUAUAUAUAUAUUUAUUAAAAUAUUAUAUUGCUCUCAAGUCAAAUAAUUAUUACAAAAAAAACCAAGAUGAGAGUACAAAUAAGCCACUAGAGGCAAGCUAAAAAAUUCUUGAUUUUAAGGGCAAUCCAAUCAUUUAACAACGUGAUAAAAAGUGAAAUUUCAUUAAAAAAAAAAUAGAUACAAAUUAAUUAAGUUGUUUUAAAAAAAUAUAAUAAUAAUUUUACUAUUUCCAUCCUAGCAUGCUAGGUUUAGGUUUUUGUUACAAAAAUAAAACUGAAAGUGACAAACUAAUACACAUUGAAUGGUAUAGAGAAAUAUAAGCUUUAAGCAAUCAAAAGGCCUAGAAGUGAAGUGAAUCAUAGCAUAGCAGAAAUCCCAAACAAAGGAGAGAUACCGAGACGCCAAACUAACCCUGCAAAACCCUCUGUAUAAAAGGGAGUUAGCCAAAACCCUAACAAACUUAUAAACUUAAACCCCAACAUUUCUCACUCAGCCAGAGCCACUUCUCUCUUCAAUCAAAAUCUCUAUAAAUGGCCUUCAACUCUGUACUUCGCCGAGCCUCGAAAUCCCUCUUGCCUCUCGCUAUCCGCGCCGUGGGAACUCCCAGAACCUUCCACAGAGCUAUCCCCGCCGUUCUCUCCGUUGAAAACCUCCGAGACUUUCUUCCAUCUUCGCAUUUCUCAACAGCUGCCACCGCGCUGAAACCAACCGCCGAUGAGAAUCUCAUUCGAGUCCUCGGAACUGAGAUCGAAUGCGUCGAGGAACCCCACGAUGUCAGUUUCUUUCCCCAUUUUUUUGAACUUUAUUCACCAAUUUAUUUUAAUUUUUUAGUUGCCUAUUUUAUAUUUGAUUCUUAUUUGAUGGUAUGAUUUUUUGUUAGUUAUGCUGAACAUAAAUUAUAGUCUUUUUUUUUUUUUUUUUUUUAAUGUGGCUUAGAAUUUUGUCUGCUUAGUACUUUUAUAAUUUUUAACUUGAGAGGGAUUUUGCGUAUUUUUUUUAUAAGUCUUGAAUUUUCAAGCUUUGUGCUGGUGGAGAAUAAAUUGUGAAAUCUUGAUGAGAAAUAACAAUUUUUUUUAAUUAGAGCUUGUGUUUUUAGUGACACAUGAACAUCUUUUAAUGAUUGCGUAAACAGGUGGAGAAUAUCUCGAAUGAGUUUCCCUUCAAAAUUAAAGAUAAUCCUGGAGAGAGGACCAUUUUGCUAAGUCGAAAGUUCCAAGAUGAAACCAUCAAAAUUGAAGUCGACAUGCCUAGUAUUUCAGAUGAUGAUGAUAAUGAUGAUGAUGAUGAUGCGAAGGACGCAGAUGUCUCUAGCAUUCCGUUGGUUGUGAGUAUUACCAAGGGAAGCGGUCAGUAUAUGGAGUUCUGUAUCACUGCUUUCCAUGAUGAGAUUUCAAUUGAUAGCUUGUCAAUAAAAAACCUGGAAAAUUCUGAUGAACUUGCAUAUGAAGGACCUGACUUUAAGUAAGUUUAUUAUGUUCAGAAUGUGGGACGUUUGGUGGAUUUCAAUCCUUUAGUGGAUUCUCUUUUUGUUAAUUUCUGACUUUGUUUUCCUUUGGCAGUGAUUUGGAUGAGAAUCUGCAGAAUGCUUUCCUGAAGUAUCUUGAGAUUAGAGGCAUCAAACCUAGCGUAACAAAUGUUUUGUUUGAUUACAUGGCUAACAAAGAUACCAAAGAAUACUUGUUAUGGCUGAAGAACGUCAAGAAUUUUGUGGAGAAGUAACUCUGUGGAGAAGUAACUCUUUGAACAAGACACGACCAUUUCUGGAUUCGCCCGUGUAUGCCGCUAAUGGUGAUAUCUGCGUGCUGUUACUGUAGUGAUUUAGUUUUUCCUUUUGAAAUGUUCUUACUUCUGGACCUGGAUCAUGUUGAUGAAGGAACUAGUAUUGAAACUCAUGUCAGGAAUAUGAGAAUGGCAGAUAGGGUGCAAGUUCUAUUUCAUAAGCUGCUGUCAAGUAAUAGAUGUGAGACUUAAAUGUGAUCAUGAUUCGGGUAUCUGAUUAUUCUUUCAGUCGGGUCUGUUUAUCUCCCAAUUUGUUUUUAAUAAGUAUGCAAAUAGGUGCUAGAGUAAGUCUUGAUACACGAACAAUCUUAUUGCUUAACAGAUUUGGUUCUGCAAAAACUUUGGACCCAAUUUACAUGUUUUAUGCCUGGUUUAUCGUUCACUUACUGGAAAUUUUCAAUCCGAUUUCGCUAGCGAGAUCCAUUUAUCCAAUGCGUGAGGUAUUUGGGGAAAAGAAUAUCUAGUAAGAUUAGCAUUACUCUUUAUUUGGGGAAAAGUUAUGCAUGAAGACUCGGAAUCUGCCGGCAACUCUGACUCCGAUAAUCAAAUACAUGCACUUCUAUUUUGCUUUGCGUUUGUUUUCUAGAAGUGAUUUCCUACUCACAAGGAGCCCAGUUUUGAAACGGUGGUGGGUAGGACUGGAGGAAUUCCUGAUACCAGAUCUUCUCCAUUGAUAAGCUGUCCCAAAAUUACGUUUGGUGGUUUUAAGGCAGUAAGGAAAGUAUUUUCUGAAUCUAAUUAACUCUCUAAUGCUAUAAUUCAGAGCUUCCAACUACACGGGUAUUCUUUUUCAAAAAAGGAAAAUGUCGAAACAUUUUCAUAUUUGUCAUCAUGUGGAGAUCCAGUUUUCUUGCCGUGAAGAUCUAGGAAUGAGAUCAUCCAUCCAUCCAUUCACUCAAUGCAUCAAGAAAUUUACUUUUCUCCCUGUGUUUUGGGCAUAACUGACCACUAAAGACCUGGUCUCUCCCCCCUGGUAAAUCGUAUUCAGUUAAUUGCCUCCAAAAACGUCCACUCCAAAAGGAACAAAUCCAUCUUUGAUACUUUGUUUCAAAGUAUUUUUAGAGUUAUAUGCGUGUAGCAGAAGAAAAUGGAAAAGGAAAAGAUACAUGGACCUCUAUAUUUUGACCUGAAUACAGGUGCCAAAAUCCCAUCUGUUGGACUAGGGACAUGGAAAGCCCCACCUGAUGUCGUUGCUGAAGCUGUCAAGUUUUCUGUCAAGGUUCUCCUUUUCUUACAAUCAACUCCAUACCUUGUUUCCAAACUAUUCAAUAUUAGUACUGAAUAUGUACUAAUUUUGGUUCCAACUCUGUGCAGGCCGGCUACAGGCAUAUUGACUGUGCUAAAGUCUACGGUAACGAAAAGGAGGUACCAUCUCUUACUUUCAUGUAAUACGAGGCCAAUGAAUUAAUUACCUUCUGUAACACCAGUUUGAAGACACCUGCAAUAUGUUUGUUGUCAUUCCUGUUUUUGGGCCUUUGUAAGAAAAUGGAGAUAAUCCCUGCCUUGUGUUAAUGUAAUGCAGAUAGGGAAAGCGUUGAAGGAACUGUUUUGCACUGGGGUAGUGGGACGCAGUGAGAUGUUCAUCACAUCUAAGCUCUGGUACUUUAUUAUAUUUUUCUGCUGCUUACUGUUCUUGAUUUGGUCUUUAACUGAAAUUGCUUUCUUAUUAUUACUGAUUACAAUCAAAUUUUGGAGUUAAGAGUAUGCAUGAUCUUUAGUUUAGGACUCUGAUAUUGGCCUAAAGCCGUCUUUACUUAAACAAUCAUGUCAUGAUUACUAUUAUGAAUUUUUCAGGUGCAGUGACCAAGCUCCUGAAGAUGUAUCAAGGGCACUGAGCAAGAGUCUAGAAGAUCUGCAACUUGAUUAUAUUGAUUUAUAUCUUGUAAGCAUGUAUUAUGCAUUCAUUGGUAUUCGCAAAUAGUGACGACAUGAUGCUUCAAUGACAACUAAGACUAUUUUCUAGAAUUCUGAAAUCAGAAUUGGCACAACGAAGAAUGUACCAACUGACAGUAAAUUCUAAAAUAUGGCAUUGCUUUACAGAUUCAUUGGCCAUUUCGGACAAAGCCAGGCUCAAGUGGAUGGGACCCUGAAGUCAUGGCACCUUUAUGCCUUCGAGAGACGUGGGCUGCAAUGGAGGGCUUGUAUGCAUCAGGUCAGGCACGAGCGAUUGGUGUCAGCAACUUCUCGACUAAAAAGUUACAAGACCUCGUUACGUAUGCUAAAGUGCCACCUGCAGUUAAUCAGGUUGAGUGCCACAUAGUCUGGCAGCAGCCUGCUCUUCACCAUUUUUGCAAAUCAACUGGAAUUCAUCUCUCGGUAAUACACUAGACAGUCUUUUAUCACUGGAUUUUAUCCUUAGAAUCAUCUUGUUUGGUAAGAUUCAAUAUUCGAAUUGUGUGAAUAAAAUCUCUCUUGCAGGCGUAUUCCCCUCUGGGUUCUCCAGGAUCUUGGAUUAAAGGAGAAAUCUUAAAGGAACCGCUGCUGGUUGAAAUUGCUAAAAAACUUAACAAAUCGCCUGCACAAGUAGCUCUUCGCUGGGGAAUUCAGAGUGGUCACAGUGUUCUUCCAAAGAGUGUAAAUGAAUCAAGGAGCAAGGAAAACUUGAGCUUAUUUGAUUGGCAUAUCCCUCCAGAUCUCUUCUCAAAAUUCACAGAUAUCCACCAGGUAAGAUUAUAUACUUGUAAGCCGCUAUGAGGAAUAUUUAUAAAUUUAUCUACUAACUAUCUGGUGGGUGCGUCAAGCAGCAAAGGCUCCUCCGAGGGGAUUUCGCCGUCCACGAAACUAAUAGUCCGUACAAAAGUCUUGAAGAAUUGUGGGAUGAUGAAAUAUGAGAUGACAUAUCCUCUGGUGAUCUGCAUUUGCAUGUUAUUGAUCUCUCUUCAGGAAAACAAUCCCACAUGCUGAAUCCUACCUCUCGAAUUUUGAGAGGCUACGCGGUGCAGUAAUAAAUGAAGCUGAAUAUGGUUUACUUGAUCCCUAAUUUGUUUUUCCCACUGUAUCAAGACAAAGUUCAUAUUUGGCUGUACUAGUUGCUUAGCUGCUUAUCAAUCUCAUCACCUUACAAAUGAAGUGUUUCGAUCUAGAAAUUUGUGUGGCACAUAGAGCCGCGUCAUUAUCCAUCGAGUCAAAUCAAAGACUACACAGAAGACUGGUUGUAGGGAAAUUAGAAUGAAAAUAAUUCCAUGCCUUGAUACUGGAUUUUCUUUAUAUUCUGUUGUUCAAAAAUCAGAUCCUUGACACAUUGCACUGAUGGAUGGCCGUAAAGAUGUCGCUUGCUAGAACACCAUUUGCUUAAGAAAUGCAGUUUUUCGUUUUUUCAGCCUUGCCAUGCCAACAAUUAGUUUCUGAUAGCUCGUCAAAAAAAGAAAAAGAAAAAAAGAGAACUAGUUUUUGAUACAAUGCUGCAGCUGUCUUCUCCGACAACACAUUCACUUCGCUAUCGCAAUCUUUUUACAUGGAGCAGAUCAGCUUGUAUUAUUAGACAAAUAGUUUUGAACUAUACAUUUCACACAGCUGGAGGGGUGAAAAGUUUGCCUUUCGAAGUGUGAGGCGGCAUUUGCUUUUCUAGUUUGUUCCCAAGUGAAAAAAUCACAUGGCAGUGCCAUGGGAAGAUCAUAAAAAAGAAAAAAAGAGGCAUCUGCUCCGAUAAAAACUUGAGCAUUGUUAAUGGCGUUGACUAUAUAUAAUAUGCAUAUGCCACUCCAUCCAAAUAGUUUUGAAACAACUUGACAACAAGAUCAUUCAAAAGUCUGGUGCUACCACCAACUGAUCGUUAACAAUGCUAGGCUUGCUACGGACUACGAGCAUGAAUCCAAUUCCAUGAUGACCUGUUCGACCAUCCAAAAUUGGAAAAAAUGCAGCCAUGUUGAUUUCAAUUUAUGGGAACAUCACUCACCUCUGUUUCAAGUCCAAAUUGGGCUCUAUUGCAAUUAAAUUAUGAAAUACAACAGCACAGACAUCAACUAUAUGAUGGCAUACAUCACCGUAGAUUUUCUUUUGAAAUUACGUACCAGUUCUUCAGGGCUAAUGAUUUGGCACCCAUCAUGCUAUAGGAAAAUCCUGAGCCAAUAAACCUUAUCUAUAACGCCCAACUACUUCAUGAUCUUCUGCAAUGAUCUGACCAGUCCGAACACUAGACAAAAGGUAGGAAGACAAUUGGAGAACUCAUUUCGUCAAAAAGUUCACCGCAUACAUUGAGAAAGCAAAUACCACAGAAUACAAUGAAAAGAGAUGCCUAGAUACGAUAUCACAAUUUUCAUAAAUAAAAAAUCAGCCACCAAUGUUGCCAGUUUUCAUUGCCGACAUUAUAUAUUGUUUCCGUGGCAGCUAGAAAUCUCCGCCGCAGCUUCCAGCUUCUUUCGUUGCUCUGCAUGGGAUAUAAGAAACAGUUCAUUCAGGUAGGCUUCUAGAUCAGCAACUGCAACUUUUUUUCGCAAGGAACAAACUUUCAGGGGUCAAGUUCUUUUCAAAAGGACAAAUGAUGGAGAACCAUUAUUUUAUAUCCAUCACAUUUCAAGUUCCUAUGGUUGAUAGUUAUUAAACCCGGCUCAGGAAUUGACCCGGCCGAGAGGCUGGGUCUCGGGUUUUAUGGGUCAACCUGGGUUAACCUGGGUCAACCCAGAUCAACCCGGAAAUUCACUCAUUUUUCUUUCUUUUUGAAAGCUGUUGACAACAGCUUCAACACGAAAGUAAUAUUCCCGUAGAUUUAUAAUUUACCUUUCCUAGCCAAAUGGCUCCAAAAGGCAAAAGCUACGGGGAAUGCCCCACAUUACAAUUUAAUAUAUUUCCUGUCAAUUAAAAUUUUUGAAGGAAAGACACACAAAACCUAAACUUUUCCCUGUCUCUACCAAAUAAAACAACAAGCCGCUGCUCCCCUGCUUUUAGAUUUUCUCUCCCAAAACCAGCCAAAACUUCCCUUUUUGCUUGGCCAAAACAACUGCCAUGCCCGACUAACUAUCAAAAAUUGAAAGAUAAAAGACAUUCUCUUCCUUCUUUCUUCACUCUCGUUCUAGAAGGUAUUCUAUCAAGCAACAGGAGACUAGAGAGCCACGACUUCCUUCAUCCCUCUCUCAGUCACCCCCCUGGUUUUUUGGCCAAAACUAGAGAGCCCCUCCUUCUUCUUCCCCACCCGCCUCCGUCUCUUGGCCAAACCAGAACCGCCGCCCACCGACACAGGAGACCAGCUCGACCAGCCUCCAAUGACAGCGUCCCUCACUCUCCUUUCCUCUCUGUUGCUGCUAACAACAACUCAUUGUAGAGAAGAUGAUGAAAUAAGAAGGGAGGCUGAAGGACAAAAACCACAUUUGAAAAGGGGAAAAAAAUCGGGUCUCGUCCGGGUUCGUCCGGGUCAUGGGUUGACCCGCCGGGUCGACCGGGUUUUGCCAGGUUGUUGCACCAGUCGGUCUUUUAACAAACCCGAACCGGUUCAGGUCCCGGGUCGACCAACCGGGCCGGUCCGGGUUUAAUAACUAUGAUCAAAACCCAAAUCCAAUCCAAACUAGAAAAACAAAAUUACAAAACCCUAAUUUACUUUACAACAAAACUCUGCCACCAAUCUUGCUGGUCUUCUGUUUCUAUUGUUUCCCUUAGCUGCUGGCUAUCAGUUUCAUCACUGUUCAUUGGCAAUUAGUGGUCCUGCUUCGUUCAAAUUGGCUUCUAGAUCAGUAACUAACACUUUUCUCAAUAAAAAUACUCUCUAGAGUCAGGUUUUUUUUAUUAACGGUAAUAGAUGUAUAAGUCAGCUUACACGUAUAUUUCAACUAAUUUUUCAAGAAUCUAAAAUUAAUAACAAUAUAAAUCUUUAAGAAUCUUAAAAUUUAUGAUACUUGAACUAGUAAAAGUCAAAUACCUUAUUUUUAAGAAGGCAAGAAUGAUGGAAAGCCCAAGUCAAAAGAAAUUUAGGCUUUGACUAAGAUGAGUCCAUCACUAGGCUGGAAGCAAAGGCAGUUAUCAGAAGGGUCAAUGAGUAAUAAGGAAAGCUAAUGACAUCAGUGGAAAUAUUAGGGGUGAUUAUUUUUAGUUCGGUUCGGUUUUUAUCUAAAAAAAUAACCAAACUGAAAUUUUAUAAAAUAUAAAAAAUUAAACUGAAACGGAUUUCAACCAACUUAUUUUAGUUCAGUUCAGUUCGGUUAUUUUAUAUUAAAAACAAAAAAAAACUAUAUUGUUUUUUGGUUUUUUUGGACUUUCUAAUGAGCUUGUAAUUGAUAUUAAUAUUAUCUAAUUUUAUUACAAGAUUCUUAAUUUUUUUAGCACUGAAUAUUCAUUUAUAUUAAAUUAUUAGUGUCAAUCUUGUGUUCAAUAUGUUGCAAGCCUUGUUUUUCUGUUUUAUUUGAGGGAGCAAGAUUCCUUCUGCAUCAGAGUUUAAAUAACACACACGCCAUGUUAAAAUUUAAAUUAUAAAGCACCGCCUUCAAAAGAGUUUGAAAAAAACAACAAAUAACCUUGUUAUAAAACACUUCGUGCCAAAAAAAUAAUUUUUCAUCGUGCAUAUCAUCCCAAUCAAAAAACAAAUAUUUUGAUAUCAAAACCUGGAACUCAAUAUCUAGAAUUAUAACAUGAUAAAUUAAAUUAGAAGAUAUAAAAAUAAAAUGUAGUAUUUUUACCAUAAAACUGACUUUUGAACUGAUUAUCAUUUGUUGCAUGAUGUAACUUUUCACCAAAUUCUAUAAAAUAAAAAAUUAAACAUGUUAGAUGAUUGAAAACAUGUUAAUUAAUAAAUCACAAAAUAAAAGGAGUAAGUUUAUAAAAAAAAUUACUCGACUCAAGGUUUUUAUAGGUUUCAAAAUCAUUUAUCAAGGUUCUAAUAUCAGUUGGAAUUGAUUCAUGAAGCAACCAGUUUUGACAACAAAUGAGUGCUUGAACUGUUGCUAGAGAUAAAGAACUUUGAAAUUGAUCGAGUAUAUGACCAUCUGUGGCAAAGGCUGAUUCAAAAGCCAUUGUGGAUAUAUGAAUAGUUAGAACAUGUUGUGCAACCUUUGAAAGUGAUUUAUAUUUCGAAGCAUUACUCUUCCACCAACCUAAAAUAUCUAACUUAUCAUCAUUAGAAUUCUCAUAACCAUCAACCAAAUACCUCUCAACCUCAUUUCUAUUUUCCACACUAUCCUCCUCCUGUAAAUGCCUUUUGAAUCGAGUCAAAGUAUUAACAUCUACCUUCAUAUCAUCAAUAGCAUUAAGCGUAGUUAGAUGUGUCUUGACAUAACCCAAAAGAAUCAAAGAUCGGAAAAGAACUGUGAUCGUUUACACCUCCAUUAAAUAUGGUGAAAAAGGUUGCAAGGUUAUCAUAGAUAGUAAAAGUUGUAUCAAUGCAGUAUCUUCUAGUUGCGUAACCCGUUUAGGUUUAAAAUAUGUUCCUUACACUAAGCUAUAUAAUGUAUCCUGGGUUAACAAUCAAUGAGAGAUGUUCUUUUCUUUUAAAGUUAGUAAAUUGACAUGAUGAAAUUUGAUGUGAUGAGAUUUAUAUGGAUGUAGGACAUGUCCUUUCACUUUCAGAAGGAUUAAUCACUUCUUGUUUGGUAAAUUCAUAUUUAUUUUUUUAUAUUUAAUUCUUUACAAGUUUACUAUUUAAAGUUUUUUACGAGACUUUUUGUCGCAGUCAUUGUAAAGAGAAGGCAACUGUCAUAACUUAAUUUUCGACCCCCUGUUUUUCUAAAUAUUUUCAAAAUACAAUAUAUAUAUAUAUAUGUUCUUGAUAUAUUUAUGUUAUUUUCAGUAUUUUUAAUAUAUUCUCAAAAGAAUUCAAAAUCUAAAUUUUUUUUCUUUAAGGCAUUCAGUUUUUAAUGUGCCAUUUUCAAAACCAUUGUUUGAUUUUCAAAUGGUUUAAAAAUGGUUUAAUGAUAUUAGUAUGUAUAAAAUUGAUUUUUGAUAAAGGCAAUUUUUUGGUCCAGAAAGAGUAAUUGGGUCCCAGUCAUUUUAAGUUGUCUCUUUAAUUCGUUAGGUCCUUAAAAAUCCAUCCAAUUAUAGUAUUUACAAAUGAGUUGAUCUAUCUAUUAUUAUAAGUAGAAGGAAAAGUUUUUUUUAACAUAAAAAAUCUUUUCAUCCGAUUCAAGCACAAGCAAAAAAAUAUAUAAAUGUUGUCAAUAUGUUUUUUAAUAUAAAAAUAUUAAUUACAAAUAAAAAAUUUCAUAUAUAUUUAUUUAAUAAAAUAAAUCUAGAAUUAUAUGCGUUAAUAACUAUAAAAAAAGUAUUAAUACUAACUAAAAACUAGAUUAAUUAGAAAGCAAAGAAAUAGAAAAUAAAAAUAUGUGAUGAGAUAGUCUUUCAAAACUUUUUAAUUUAAUUAUAUGGUAAUUAAUUUGUUUUUGUAAGAAGAGUUGUAAUUUAAAUUUCCUUGAAACAAAAUGAUUUGUUUGUAUAACUCCUUAUUUUUUUUUUGAUUGUUUUCUACCAAGAAAUAUAUAUUUUUUAUUAUAUUUUUUUUAUUUAAUAAAAAUCAAAAGUAUACAGAACAAAUAGAAAAAAAAAAUUGAAUGAUUUGAAAUAAGAAUAAGAAAUGUAGAGGCUGCAGAAGACGGGUCGUCCGCCUUUUAAUAUAUAAAAAAAGAUUCGAGACCUUGCACGCAGACAAAAUCUCUUUUGAUGGGUUGGGCACGUAAACUCAUAUGCACGCCUGGCUUAUAUAGUUUUUUUUUUGUUUUUUUUCCUAUAUUUUACACUAUAAUUUUUUUUUUGUACAAAAUAGAUUGUCUCAUGCAUCUGACUCCUUUUUUUUUUUUUUUUUGUUAUUUAAUGCAUUUUGAACUCUUCAAUUUUUUUAAAAAAUAUCAUUCAAUUCUUUAUAAUUCAAUGAUCUCGUUUUGUAAAGACUUAAAAAAAUUAUAUUUAUUUUUGUUAUUUCAGUCUCACAUCUUUGUUAUAGUUGUUCUUUAUAAAAACAAUCAUAAAAAAAAAGUGUUUUUAUCUAUUUUUUAAUAUUUUUAGAUCGUUUUAAUAUAAAAAAUAAUUUUUUUAUUAAAGUAUUAUUUUAAUACUUUUCUAAGCGAAAAACACUUUGAAAAGCAACCGUUACUAGAUUUCUAAAUACCCUCAAUGGCUGCCAUUAUAUAUGUGUAUAUUACCACAAAUUCACAUUUUGUUUAUUUUUUUUUGGUAUUACAUAAAUGCUUAAUUAUAAUACCCUUUGAAUGAAGAAAUGUACAAUAUGUUUAUAGUAAUAAUUAUUUAUAAUCAAAAAGUGCAUUAAUUGUUCUAAAUUAGGUAUCACCAUCUCUACAAUAUCUAAAGUACAUUUGAAAGAUUUGAAUUGAAUCUCACAACAUAUGAAGAUAACGACUAGUUAUAUACUAAUUUUCUCUCAGCAGGUUCUCAAAAUGGUGGUAACUGAAGAAUUAUAUUCGACAAGUGCCAUGUUCUUAGUAAUUGCAACCUUUAGUAGCAUUCUUAAUAUCCCCCAGUAAUGCUCAUUCCAUUUCCUAUCUUGCUUUUUUUUAAAACCAUAAUUAAUUCAUUUAAUCAAUUAUUAUAUUGGAUUUAAAUAAAAAAAAAUGAUUUGUUGCUUUCGUGAAGCGUAAGCAUGGUUUCAUUGUUGCUUAGGAAAUUGAUGUCAAACAAUGAACAGGGUAUCAAACAAUGAAAAAGGUAUUGGCCCAGAAAAAUAAAGCAACAGUGUUUAAUUUGGACACACACACAGACAAUAGGAGAGCAGUGUUUUUCCCCAGUUGAAUACACAAAUGUCACAAGAUCGCAGACUAGUUGCAUGUAGUUUUAGUUACCGCUCCAACUACUCCUACCACUACUAUCACCAUCUUCACGGCCCUCUUCUAUGGUGCCGUAAUCUUCAUCAACAUCUCUGAUCUUGGUGCCAUUUUCUUCAGUUGGCUUGGGCUGCUCCACUUCUUUGCUGUUAAAGCCUACCCUGCAGAAACAGAUCAACAAGAAAGCUGCUGCUAGAAAUGCAGAUAAACAGGCCAGGAGCGCAAUAGAAGAGGGCUCCAUUGGUGAAACUCGUGCAUCAAUGAAUAUCACUGCUCGCUUCUUAUAGCAAAGGAUAGUCUAAGGUUGACGCCGGCUGGGUAGACCAAGCUUUGUUUAAGACAGACUUAAUCUCAAGUUACUCCGAAUUCCACAUCCAAAGACCAUCAUAUUUCCGGUCAUUAGGAAUAAACUUUGGUGUCUUGACUUUCCCGAGCGACUCAAAACUCUGAAUUGAUGGUAUAACAGGAAAUGCCAUUAAUUUAUUAAUUGGCCCAACCUACACAUAAUCAUUACCAUCUAAUCUAUGCCUCAAGUUUGAAGUUUGAACUAGUCCAUUCUUGCAUAAUACAAGGGUUUCAUUGACCUUUAUAGGAUUGCCAAAGUUCAGUUUGUAUACAAAUACAAACCUAAUUUAUUUUUAUGUUUUAAAAAUACUUAAAAAAAAUUUAUUUAUUUUCUUUACUUUAAAUCAAUAUUUUUUUGAUGUUUUUAGAUCGUUUUGAUGUGUUAACGUUAAAAAUAAAAAAAAAUAUUAUUUUAAUUUAUUUCAAACAAAAAAAUAUUUUAAAAAACAAUUGAUAUCAUAUUUCUAAACACGAUCUAAAUGGAAGGAUACAUGGAUUUAUUUCAAUUUUUUAAGGACAUAUUAGAUAUAACUAAAUGUUUAGUGAUAUAUUGGACACAACCACUGAUCUAUAAGGAUAUGUGAAGCCAUGCAUUUCCUUUAAAACACAUCCUAAAAAUUAAAACUGAUAGAUCAACAUGUUUUAUUUUUAUAUGGAUCUUUAUUUAAAGGAACCAAAGAUAGGGUGAUGACUCAGCAUCCUUGGGCUUAGCUAAGCACUAAGCCCAAGCAUGAUGUGAACCUCGUGAUCAUGCAACCCAUAACAAGAUUGACAAUGAAUCCUGAAAUGCUAAAACAUGUCUGAUAGGAGUGUGACACAAUGAAAACUUAUCUCAAUGCACUAGCACUAUUGGAACAAGAACCCUUACCCUACAAAUACCAAUUUGUGAACGAAAAGUAUAAAAAAGACACCACAAAACCAAUUAUUAUUCGAUAAGUCAAUUUAGUUCGUUAAAGAACCAAAAAUUAUGAAAAUCUCUCUCACACAAGCUGAAUAAAUUCGACAAAAAUAGUAUUAUCAAGUCUUUUUAUUUUGUGCCUAUAAAGAAUAUUAUACUCUUGAGAAUAAAACUCUCACACUAAUAGGUUAAACAUGCACCCAAUUUAAAUAAAGUCCGAACUAAUUAAAAUAAGAUUUAAAAAUAAUAGAAAUCAAUAAAACAAUAGUCUAAAAUUAUUUUUCACCCUUUUUCGCAUAUGAUAGUGAAAAAUACACGAGAUAAAUAAUUAUUGAAGAAUCCUUAGUGAAUAAAAGUCUGAUGCUUUGUAAAAUAAGAAUUAAUUUUUUACAAAUUAAUUCUUCUUGUUUGAUAUGAAAUUCUCGUAAUAUAAGAAAGCCAAAGGCCGCCACAUAAGUUCCCAGUAGCAUUAAAGACUCUUUGUAAUGAAUGAAAUCCUUGUAAAAGGAUUUUUUUCAAAAACAUUUUGAGCUGGUGAGAUCAUGCAAGUUUUUAAAGGAUGUUUAUUUAAGAGAAAGGGUAUUCGCAAAGAGAAUUCUGAGCCAAACUUUGUUUUAUUGAUGAGAACAAAUUACACAUUAUUUCUUCACAUAAUCUUAAUUUACAAGCCUAAUUACAUCUUCUCCAUUCAUGCUAGUUAAGAUUAGUGCCCCUAUCGAGAAUGUUUUUUUUUUUUUUUACCAUGUAAGGGCCUUUAUAGUUUAGUGCUCAUUUUCUAUGAUCUUUAUAAGGAAAAUGUAGAACUUUUCUUAACACCAAAUCAUAUUCUCUAAAUUCUCUCGAUCAAACUUUCUUAUCAAGUGUCUGAGCCAUUCUUUUUGGUACAACUGGUAAUGACAAAUUGCUACUAGCCUUUUUUCACUAAUCAUGUUUAGCUGUUCAUAUCUUAUCUUCAUCCAUUCAACUUCUUCUAAAUCAGACUUCAUCAAUACUCUCAACGAUGAGAUUUCUACUUCUAGGGGCAUAACCGCCUCCAUUUGUAUACUAGCGAAUAGGAUGUAACACCAAUCGAUGUUCUCACAACUAUUUUGUAAGUUUGGAAAGCAUGAGGGAGCUAUCCAUGCCAAUCUUUAUAAAUGAUUACCAUCUUUUGGAUAAUAUUCUUUAUGUUCUUGUUAGCAACUUUUACAACUCUAUUCAUCUUUGGCCUAUACAGUGAUGAAUUCAAAUGCUUGAUCUUCCAUUUAUCACACAAUUCAACGAUUGUUUUUCCAUUGAAAUUCUAAGCAUCAAAUGUGACUAUUCUUUUAGGCAGUCCAUAUCGACAAAUUAGCUCUCUCUCAAUAAACCUUUUAACAACCUUUUAAGUCACAUAUGCAUGCAUACAAAAAAGCUUCGAUCCAUUUAGUAAAGUAAUCAAUUGCUACUAAGAUAAAUCUACGUUCAUUGUUGGCUUUUAGAUUAGGUCCAAUAACAUCUAUCUCCUACAUUACGAAUGGUCAAGAUGACAACAUGUUAAAUAGAGGAACUAGUGGUGCAUUGAUCUUAUCUCUAUGUACAUGACACUUAUGAUACUUCCUCAUAUAAUCUAUGCAAUCCCUCCUUAUAGUCAUCUAAAAAUACCCAACUCUUUGGAUCUGUCUAGUCAUCAUAUGUCUAUUUAUGUGUGUAGAACCUAUUCCUUUAUGUAUUUCAUGUAGUGCUUUCCUUGCUUCUUCUUCAUUCGAACACCUCAGAAAAGUCCCGUCUAACGACCUCUUAUAUAGAACUUCUUCAUCCAGGUAGUAAUCCAUGGCUAUUCUUCGCAAUGUCUUUCAAUUUGACUUGGAUGCCUCAUUGGGAUAUUCUCGAUAUUGGAUAGAUUUCUUUACAUCGUAAUACCAAAGCUUCUGGUCUAUUUCUUCCCCAACUAAAUAGUAGUAAGCACGAGAUUUUUUUUUAUUCUUAUGCAUACUGGUUGCACUUGAUCUCCACAAUCAAUUUAAGCUAUGAAGGCCAAAGUUGCUAGAGUAUCAGCAAAUUGGUUUUUAUCUCUUCCUAAAUGUGUGAAUUCUAUCUCAUCAAAGUUCUCUACUAGUUUGAAAAGGUACUUUUGAUAUGGACUCAACUUUUCAUAUUUGGUUUGUCAUUCUCCUUUUACCUGACAGAUUAUUAGCAUUGAGUCUCCAUAUACAUUUAACUUCUUUAUCUUUAUUUUUGUAACUACUUCUAGGCCAUAAGUGCAUGCUUCAUGCUCAAUUAUAUUGUUAGUGAACCAAAUUGUAGUUUGAUUAAGAUGGGGCAUUAUUUAUCAUUUAGAGAAAUUAUAACAACUCCAGCUUCAUGACCACAUACAUUCACAACUCUAUCAAAGUACAUCAUCCACUAAUCAUUCCCUUUUUUUUUUCAAUUGUUAAGACAUCCUCAUUUGGGAAGUCAAAGCUUAAAGGUUCAUAUUCCUUAAUGGUGUUGUCAGCUAAAUGAUCAAUAAUGACACUUUCUUUUAUAGUUUUCAUAGUCAUGUAGACUAUGUCAUACUCAGACAACAAAACUUGUCAUCAUGUAAUCUGACUUGACAAAUAUGGUUUCUCGAAUAUGUACUUUAGGGAUCUAUUUAGGAGAUGAGCCAUGUGGUGUAGUAUAACAUAUACUAGCGUAAUCUCUUAGCGCUCCAUGCUAACUCGCAACAUAACUUCUUAAUUUUAUUGUAAUGUGCUUCGCAAUCUGUGAACUUCUUACUGAUGUAAUAAAUGGCUUGGUUUUUUCUCCCCAUGUUAUUGUGUUGUCCUAGUACAUCGUUCAUAUUGACUAUUAAGUAUGUAUCAGGGAUUUCCUAGGAAUUGGUGGUAUUGGCAGAGGUGGGUUAACAAGGUAUUACUUAAUCUUCUCAAAAGCCUCUUAACAAUCUUUAUUCCAAAUCCUGAGGUUAUUCUUCCCCACCAACCUAAAGAUUGGUUUGCAUAUGUAGUUUUCAACCAAGAGAUAAAAUGAGCUAUGUAGUUCAACUCCCUAUAAAACCCCAUACUUCUUUCUUAGUCUUAGGUGUUGACAUUUCUUAGAUGGCUUUGACUUUAUUUGGAUCUACUUCGAUUCCUCUAUUACUUACCAUAAAUCCUAAUAACUUCCCAAUUUUAACCCCAAAUAUGAAUUUUAUUGGAUACAACUAUAACUGAUACUUCCAUAAGCUCUCAAAGAGUUUCCUCAAAGCUUGCACGUGAUCUUCUUUCAUCUGGGGUUUAGCAAUCACAUCAUUGACGUAUACUUCAAUCUUUUUAUGCAACAUAUCAUGAAAGAGUGUUACCAUUGCUCGUUGAUAUAUGGCUCCAGUAUCUUUCAAACCAAAUGGCAUUACCUUGUAAGAGAAAGUUCCCUAUGGGUUAAUGAAUGUUGUCUUUUCCUUGUCUUCAUUGACAAUUUUAAUCUGAUUAUAACUUGAGAACCCAUCCAUGAAAGAGUAUAUAGAAUUUUUUGCAGCAUUGUCUACAAGCAUGUCAAUGUGAGGGAGUGAAAAGUCAUCUUCCAGGCUAACUCUAUUUAAGUCUCUAAAAUCCACACAUACUCGGAUUUUAUUACAUUUCUUGGGAACUGUCGCAAUGUUCAAUACUUAUUAAGGGUAUUUGUCUACUUCUAGAAAACCCGUAUCCCAUUACUUCUUCAUAUCUUCUUUCAUUUUAAUUAGGAUGUCUAACCUUAUUCUUGUUAGUUUAUGUUUUACAUGUUUGCACCCAUAUAUCAUAGGUACCCUAUAUACCACAAUACUAGUAUCCAUUCUGGGCAUUUUGACGUGCUUCCAAGCAAACACAUCAGAUAAUUCUUUCAAUAAAGAUACUAAACCAUCCCUUUUCUAGGAAACAAUCUACAUUCCAAUCUUCAAUUCUUUUUUCUCAUGUUUAGUGCCUACAUCCACCAUUUUUAUUUUUUCUUCAACGGGUUUUAAGGCCUUCUCAGACUGCUCAAUUAUUUAUGGGAAUUCUGCUAUGUCAUCCUCUUCAAACUCUUUCCAUCCAUAGCAAUUGUGUUUUUAUUAAGAUUUAACCAAUUAUUCUUAAUGCGAUGAGUUUACAUGUUUAUUGAAGUUUCGCUUUCAAAUUGCUUGAAAGCGAAAAGUCUUUUUUGGUUAAGAUUGGUGGGAGCACUAGAGAGGUUAAAUGGUUGGUUAAAGUUAUGGCUAUAGGUGUGGAGACUGGAAAAUUUUAAAUAUUGGGAGGAAGAUGAAGGUUAAUGCUCUCAGUUCUCUAAUUUCAGUUAUGGUGAUAGUUGUUGAGACUUUGGUUGAAUUAGAGGCUAGUGUUAAUGGGUGUUAUUAUCGUAUUGUUACAGUUGAAGGUUAGCGAUUGAGGGGCUCUGUGUAUGAUGGAUGCUCUUUGGCCCCCCUUUUUUUUGUUGCCUCUGUUGGUUCUUAUAUAGAGAAAAGACACUGGUUUUUUUCAAUUUGAAGGCUGGAAAUCGGGGAUUUAAUUAUGAUUGCUAGAAUGCUGGGAUUAAGAAGUUGAUUCAAGGUAUUAAGAUCCAAUCCCCUGAUUAUAGCUGGUGUAUUGAAGAAUAAAAUCACAUGUUUAUUAAUCAAGGCUGUAGAUUAGUUGAUCUAGGAUUUAUUGCUAAAUGGAUUAUGAGCUAAAAUGAAAUGAUUGGAAAUAAUUAGACUAAAUUGAAUUAACGUAGGACUAAAUUGAAUCAAAUUAAUUCAAUUGGACUGAUAUGAUUAAAAUCAAUGAAUCAAUGUAGAAUAAAUUUAAUUAAAUGGACUGAAAUAAAAAUUCAGACAAACAUUCUUUAUUCUCAUUACAGUCAUUGGAUUUUGAAUUUUUUUCAAUUUCAUUUAAUUUGUUUUAAAUCACAUUUUCAUUUCAAUUGUUUUCCUAAUUGAAUCAAUUUAAACCUUCAGAUUUAACAACCUAUUACAAAUUCAUCCUUGGUUCCCAAAAUCAUGCAAUUUUGAUCAAUUUAACUCUCAUUUUUUAUCUUCUUCUUCAAUUAAGCCCUUCAUUAAUUUCUAACGUGGCUAUUUAUUUCAAAAUCAUCCUUGUACUUUCAAAUUUCUUUCAAUCUUAGCCAAGUUAAAUUAAAUUAAGCAUUUUUCUUAAUUCCUUUUCAAUUCAAACCUUGAUUAAGCCCAAAGAAAUCCUAAAUUCAAUUUUCACCUAUGAUGCUCAAUUAUUGGCCCAAUUUCAAACCCAAGCUAUUGUUUUUAUUUUUUUAUUUUGUAUUUUUUUAUGGUUUUCAAGAUUUUGUUUACACAAGAAUUAAAUAAAAAAAUGAUAAAAAUAAAGAAAUUAACUAAAACUACUAAAACAAUAUAUUUUUGGAUUUUUUUAAUUUUCAAAAUAUAAAAAAAUAGAGGGUUAAAAAUUGAAUUACAACAUUGUGUGCUUUUAUUCUCUUUGUGUGGUUGAUUGAUUCUCAUACCAAGUUCUUGAUUGAACUAAUAAACUCUUCUAAUGAAUGAUCAAAUUUAUUAUGAUUUAUAUUUCUCAUUCACGUCUCGUUAUAGACAUAAAAUGAAGGUGAUCAAUUGGAUAUAAUUUUGGUUCUUCAAUAUUAAGUUCUUAUUGGGUCAAGUUGCAAACUUUUCUUCAAAUCUCAAAUUAGCAAUCUAAGAAACAAUUCUACAUCACAAAUUGUAACUUAAAAACUAUCGACGGAUUUACCGAUGGAUAUUAGCAACGGGUUUAUUUUGUUGAUAAUAUUGUUUUUAUUAAUGACACAUCAUUUUUUUUUUUUUUCAUUUCUAAUUGUGUUUCCAUUGAUAUAUAACAAGGGACACAAUGAAGAAAUAUUCCAGCAAUAAAUGUUACUAUAAUAUACUAAUGGAAUCAAUUUCAUCGAUAUUAUUGUUUGUAUUUGCUAAUUUUCUAGUAGGAUUUUAAUAUGCGUCUAAAAAAAAUUCGAUGGGACAUAUAUGAAUUAACCAUCUAAUUUAUAUGCUUUAAAAUAAUAAAAAUGCAAUGAGAGAAAAUGCCUAGUAGCAAACUAAAAUAUUUUGAAGAUUUGAAAUAUUUUUCAAUUCUUCACCGGCCCAAACAGUAAGGUUAAUGGAAACAAAACAUCAUAUUAUAUAUAUAUAUAUGUUAAUUAGAGAAUAUUGUCAUAUGUUAAUUACAUAAAACUAAAGGCAAAUAUCUUUCAAUUGAUAAUUAUAUAAAUAAAUGUCAAAACAUGUGUUGUUCUAUUCACAAACGUACACUGCAGCAACCUCCUAACUAAUCCGAUUCAGGGAAAGGAAAGCAUAAGAAUGAAUUCAAGAAUAAAAGAGAAGAAACUUAAUACAAUUUGUCGGGGAGGAAUUAGAGCUUGUAAUAUUGUAAAAGAAGAAGAAUCAAACGCCAGCAUAACCACCAUCACAAGUGCAACUACCGUUUCCACUGCUCAUGUCUCCAGGUUGACGAGGUCUAGCGCUGAGACAACAGCACAUAAUACCUAUUAAUAACAUGAAACCCCAUGCUGUGGCUAUAGCUUGAGCCCAGAUCAUGACAUGCUCCAUUUAUCUUCUUCUUCUCGAGUCCUUCUAUGUCUCGGGACUCCAGUCUUGUACACCCUCCUUUCCCUUUUCUCAUCGUCUCAAAGUUUCAGAACAGGAAGGUUUAUUCAUUGGUGGGCAUGGCAGAGAAUGAGGGAUUAUGACUCCCCAUAAAGGUAACGGUAUCAGCCCUUUAGCUGUAAAGGGAAUUAUGCUGCAGCAGCUGGAGAGAGAGAGAGAGAGAUUUGUAGUGCACAUGGGCUGAGCUUGAAAGAGGCCGAAAUAACAUGGACCAGCCUGUGAAUCUAACAGCGUUCCUUACACAGAGCAGAGCCAGUAGACACCGUCAUCUCCUCUUUUUCUUUUUCUUUUUUCUUCAGUUUUUAUUUUUCUUCUUUUAUCUUUCUUUUUGAAGAAUUAAUUCCUUGAUCUGUGGUUUUUGCUUUUGAUAUACUCUUUAGCCCUUUACGUUCAACAAGAUCCAUAUCCCAGUGUGUGUGUCCCAUAUUAAAGCAAUCAUUUUUUAUAUUUAUUUUUUAUUUUUUUGGGGUAUAUUUAUAUUCUAUUUAUGAUAAAAUAUAUUAGAAAAUAAUAUAAAUCAUAUUUUGAGACAUCAUCUAACAAUUUAAGAUUUUUAAUUGAGAUGAUUUUUUUGACAUGAUAUCAGAGCUUUGAUGAUCAAGCGGACCGGUCACGAGUUCAAAUCUCACCUCCCCUAUUUAUUUGAUAAAAAAUAAGUAUAAGGUAAUAUGAGCUUGUACAAGUUUUAAUGUCAAAGGGCUUUCACUUAAAGAUGUAUGUUAGAAAAUAAUAUAAAUAAUAUUUUGGAACCUCACCUGACACCUUAAAUUUUUGAAUUGAGAUGGUUUCUUGAUAAAAAUACAUCAAUAAACUUGAAAAUCACUUUUUAUAUUUAAUUAAAAAAAAUUCUUAACAUUCCAACCAAACAUCAACAGUAUAUAAAACAAGGCAUUAGUUUUGUAAUCCACAGAUGGUAUCAAAUACAUGAUGAUUCUCUCACCAACAUUUUCGUGCAGCCAGCGACACAUGCCUUUAACAUUCGGCACCCUACUCAAUGUUUAAUGAAAAGUUGAGUUUUCUUUUUGCAAUCCUUUCAUAAACCAUAUAUAAGAUGUUUUUAACUGAGACUCGAAGAAAUAAUUGAAGAGGUCUUGUCCAAAAAUUAAAAAAAAAAAUAUGAGAGAGAAUUCAAUAUGUCCAAAGAGAAUUGCUUUCGGACAAGUCGAGCUAUUGCCAGAGUGUGAGUAAUGAGUAUAAUAGAUGUCGUGAAGCAAACUAACUCUAUAAUAUUUCUAUCAAUUCAUACAUAUUAACAUUUGUCUUCCUUCGUGCAAUACAGGCUAACCUCAUCUGUGUAUAUGCAUGUGUAUGUUAAAAAAUAAUAUAAAUUAUAUUUUAUAACCUCAUCUAAAAACUUAAGUUUUUGGAUUGAGAUAGUUCUUUGAUAUGAUAUUAAAGUUUUGAUGACCAAGUGAUUACGAGUUCGAAUCUCAUCAUCCCUAUUUAUUUGAUAAAAAUUAAGCAUAAGGUAAAAUGAGUUUAUACAAGUUUCAAACCUAAAGGGCUUUCACUUGAGGGGAUGUGUUAGAGAACAAUAUAAAUCAUAUCCUGAGACCUCACUUAAAAGCUUAAGCUUUUGAGUUGAGAUGGUUCUUUGACAGUGUAUCAUAUAAACUUUUAUCAUAUAAACUUUCCCUGACUGAUGAUUUUUGGCCCGUGAUUAUAUUGCAAAACAAAUUCUUUGUGAAACAAAAUUUUGAGAUUGUUUGAUUAAGUGAUAAAUACACGUAGAAAAUAAAAUAAGUGUUGUUAAUAUAUAGAGAAAAGAUACUAAGUGUAAUAUUGUUCAAAUCAAUUCUUUUUUUUUUCUUUCAAAACUUGGGAAUAUAUAAUUUUGAGAAAUAUUUGUAAAAUAUUUAGAAAAAUAUCUUGAGAAAUAUAGGUAAAAAAAUACUAUUUAUAAAUAGUAUCAUAUAUAUUAUUAUUCAUGAAUAAUAAUAAAUAAUAAAUUAAGAUGAGUGAAAAUAGGUUGAUUAGACUAAAAUUCAAGCUUGGUUGGACGUCGGUGUAACCAAGCUUCUUGAAGCUUAGUUAAAGCCUGAAUAAAGGAAGAAAUUAGAGAAAAAGACGAAGUGAGAAAGAGAAAAUUAAGAGAGGAAGGAUACAGAGAGAAAGAAGGGUAACUCCGAUGGGCAUCCUAUCGAGCUUCUUCAACUCUCUUUUUUUAAUUAUUAUCGCUCCCCUUGCAUAAUCAUGCGCUGUCAACUCGAUGGAUGAAGCAAAUUAAAAAUACUUGAGAUGGGUAGGUGGUCUCUUCUCUUUUGUCUCUUAUAAAGUGAGACGCAUGAUCAUUUAAGGUACUUGAAAAUCUGUCAUCGGAAAACAUAUGAUCACGUUGUAAAGCUAGGCAAGGGGACCUGCCACACGUCUAUAUUUUAUUACGACCAUGCUGAUUUUGAGAAAGAUCGAUGGUCAAUACGGAAAAGGAGCUAAAAGCUCAUGCUUGCGCUUGUGGAAAUGAGAUGAGAGGAAAACACACGAAAGCCAACUGGGAAGCUCAUUGAGUGCCAUUUGUACUGAGAAUGGAAGCGAGCAAACGGGCCUUGUAACCCAAUUUUCCUGUCAUGUUACCUUUUAUCGAAAGAGCUCGAUCGACUCCAAUAUUUUUCCUUGCAUGUCAAAAUGAUUCUCCCUUGUAGGAAUUGCAUUACAUAACAGAAGGAACCUCUCUCUCUCUCUCUCUCUCUCUCAACUCUUUGUUCAACUUUUACUGAGGUCCUGGACUGACUGCUGUAAAGGAAAAUAAUUUGUUUUGUGCACGUAAAGCAACCAACAGUAUCGUGAAGUAGCAGAAGCAUCCAUAGCUUCAUAUCCUUAGCUAGCAAAUUCUUUUAUUCGAUUCAAAAUUUUAAUCAUGUAAUGAUUUAUUAUAUAGCUUCCUUUUUAUAUAAUACUUGUGAUGUAAUGAAUCAUUGUAAUUAAUUUAAUCCUCUAUUAUAUUACAAUAUCAAUAAUUCACAACAAAACAUAGAAAUAUAAUCAACCAUUACUUUAUAUGAUAUAAAAUGGACAAUCUGUAUAUAGGAAUAUUGGUGAUAUAAAAUGAAAAUCUGUAGAAAACAACUCUUUUCAAUACAUACUACUUAAUGCACCUUCCUAAACGAUACAGAAUCCCGAGAGCUCAUCCAUCCAACAAUUAUAAAAUGCUACUAUUUUCCCUUUCUUUGUUCAGAUUUUUUUUUUUUUAUAACCCGGGGUGUCCGGACUAGCUUACGCGCAUCACGACUAAUCUCCGGAUUCACUGAACACUCUGCAAGCCUAAUAGACAGGUAAAGCACCACAGGGAUGACAGGCGUACACACUAAGAUUCAAACCUAAAAUGCAGAGGCUGGGAAUUCCCUGACAGGAGCGCUGGCCACGAACCUGGGUGCCUUUUGUUCAGAAUUCUACAAAUAUUGGUGGUUACAAACGGAAACAAUUCGCUUUACUGAAUGAAGCCCAGACAAUUUGCAUGAUAUAUUGGAUAUCUUGCAGUAAAACCGCGUAUCUCUACAAGCAGCAAUGAUAAUAAUGGCCCCCAACUAGUAAUAGGACAAUUUUUAUUGUAGCGGCAAUAAUAGCACAGUAGAAUCCCAAAUAACCUGAAGGGGAAUUCAUAACUAUUAUCAUGCUUAUAAAGUAAUACAAAGGCGAACUUUUACUUGUACAUGCAAAGAAAAUAAAAUCCCCAACUUCAAAGAUGUAAACCAAAGCAGAUUUACUUACAUGCCACAAGCUCAAGCUACAGCUCACUGUAAUUGCACCAAACUGCACGAAAUGUUUUCAGACGUGCUUUCAGGUUAGGUCUUCUAAAACUUGCAUGCAGGAUAGUGGCUGAGAGAGGGAGAGAGAGUUAAGCAAAGAGCUCAUGAAAUUUUGAAGAAAAAGUGUGAAAGAUACGAGUAAGAAACGAACCAAGAAGUCCAGUGGCAAGUGCCCAGAGAACAGUACUCAAAAGAUCACAGGAGGCAUACCAAAAGGAUGAAACUCACUGCAGAACAUCAGUAGAAAGCAAAUACAAUCAGCUAACAGAAAAUGGUGUUUGGUUCACCACACAAGGUUUGAGUUUGAAAUUGCUUUAAAAGAAGAAAAAAUCGACUGACAGUAUUAAAGUAUGAGAAGAAAAAACCAUGACAAACACCCAACAUAUGUAAAUUGCUCUCUUCGUCGAUGGACGUUCACGAAUAACAGGUCUGUCAAUGCUAAACAGUGAAUAAAACAGCAAAGUACUAGAUGCUGCACAAAACAAUAGUAAACAAAAGGACUUGCGUCAGAGGAGGUCUCAUUUUUUCUGCUAAAUGCGGAGAGAAUUGCCUCACAGUUCUGGUUAACUUCUCACUAAAAGUACCUGCAAAGCUGUAGAAAAUAAAUUCCAGCAACCAGGAACGGGGAAAAUAAACCAAGAACAGAUAAUAACAAAAGUUGAAGGAUAUGGGGGUAACUGGGUAAGGGUGAAGCAGCAAUGAGAAAUGACAAUGAGAUGGCAACCAAGAUGCUUUAGUCAUUCUGCAUUUUAACUUCACAAAUCUCUUGGCUACAUCAAAUGAAACACUUGCUAAAAAUUGCUGAAGACAAUUUAAUAUCUCCGAUCCCUCCUACCACACCGACACCUUGCACCCAGAAAAAGAAAAAUGAAAAGGAGCAUGCUAGUUCACAUGAGGAUUGGUAUUCCACCCAUUAGGAAACGCAAGCUCCAACAAUGCAAUUACUCAAGAGGCUUAAAAACCAAUUCCAUCGCACAACUGAUCUUGUUUCUUUAAAUAGACCUUCUAAUUUAAAAUUUAGCUAUUAGAUUUUUGCACUCGCCAAUGCAUGUAAGAUUUAUUGCUUAAUGCAGGUAGAGUGAGAAAAGUAACUGGGCGUGGCCACGUUACCUCCAAAGAAUAUACUUAGUUAGGUGAUCACCGCUAUAUCAUGCGCUUAUUUUUUAUGUUUAUAAAAAAUUUAGGUUCGGCAUCCAGCCGGCCUCAAAGUUAUUUUAGUUACUGCAUCCUUCCAAAUCCAAGGCUAUUUUGAGUCUUGUCCGCCAGGACUCAAAGCUAUUUUAAAUUAUAUAAAAAUUAAGAUUUAUGACUAUUGGGUCGUAUCUUCGCCAGAACCUAAAGAUAUUUUGAGUCUUGUAUAACGCUGGACUAACAUAAAUAUUUAUAAUAUUAAUAAUAAUAUUUAAUUUAUUUAUUAAAGUUUUUAUAUCUUUCAAUUAUUUAAAAGAUAUAUAUAAUUUUUCUUCGAUGAUAAUAAUUUUUUUUUUCAAUUUACUAAUGAUGAUGAUGAUGAUGAUAGUACAAAUUUGUAAUUCUAUCCUUUAAAUCAAAUCUAUUAUUGUUAUUUUUAAUAAUAAUAAUAUUUAUGAUAUUAAUAAUACUAUUUUUUAUAUUAAUACUUUUAAUUAUAGUAAAAAUAAUAAUAUUUAUAACACAAACAAUACUAUUUUUAAUUUUAAUACUUUUAAUUAUAAUAAAAAAAUAAUAUUUAUAAUAUAAAUAAUAAUAUUUGUAAUAUUAAUACUUUUAAUUAUAAUAAAAAAAAUAAUAUUUAUAAGAUAGAUAAUAAUAUUUUAUCAUAUUAAUAAUAAUAUUAAACUUGUAUAAUCAAAGUUUAUACAGUAAUAUUUUUUUCAAUUUUUUUUAACAAUAAUAAUAAUGAUAAUUGUUAUUAUAUUUUUUUUUUCAAUUUUAUUCUAUUCUUAAUAUUAAUACUUUCAAUUAAAAUAAUGAUAAUAAUAUUUAGAAUAAAAAUAAUAAUAUUUAUCAUAUUAAUAAUAAUAUCAAACUUGUCUAGCCAAAGUUUGUAUAGUAAUAAUUGUUUUUUGAAAAAAUUAUUAACAAUAAUAAUAAUGAUAAUUGUUAUUAUAUAUAUUUUUUUAAUUUUCUUUUAUUCUUAAUAUUAAUACUUUUAAUUACAAUAAUGAUAAUAAUAUUUAGAAUACAAAUAAUAAUAUUUAUCAUAUUAAUAAUAAGAUCAAACUUGUCUGGCCAUAGUUUAUACAAUAAUAAUUGUUUUUUGAAAAAAAUUAUGAACAAUAAUAAUAAUGAUAAUUGUUAUUAUUAUUUUUUAUUUUUCUUCUCUGCAGGGUCUGCCAAUCCAACCGUGUGGUCUUUAAACCUAAGGGCUAUGAGAACAGACCAGAGCGGCUGAGUCUGCACCCAUCGCGCGGGUCUGCUGGCCAGGCGCUCGGGGGUUUGUACACCUUAGGCUCGCUAGUCUGCAGACCCCAGGCUCGAGGGGCUGUAGACCCACUCACCCUAAGGCUGGGCAAACCACGCUAGGUGUCUGCUUCCUGGGGCCGUGGCCAAGCGCUGAGGCCGGUCCCAACGCCCUGGCUUGGCAGCUCUAACGUCAGGUGUACCUUGCCUCGCGGGUCUGCACACCCUAGGCUCGCAGGUUGCAGACCCUAAGCUCGCGGGUCUGCACACCCAGGCUCGCGGGCUGCACACCCGCUCGCCCUGGGGUUGCAGCCAAGUGAGCGGGUCUGCGCCCAUGGCUGGGCAAACCUCGCACCAAGUGUCUGCAUGCUAGGGCCUAGGCCAGCCCCAGCGCCACGUGGCUGCAACCUGGGGCACGGGCAGGUGCCCGUGGCCUACCCAACGCCCAAGCCUAGCAAAACAUUUUCUAUUGUCAGAUUGUAUUUGGAUUCUUUAUAUAUUCAUUCUGCAAAUACUUAAAAUCUAUGCAGCACACACAACACAAUAACACUAGUUCUAUGUAUAAUAAUAAAAUAAAUAUUUCUUUGUGAUUUAAUAAUAAAUAAACAUCAUUGUCAUUACAUUAAAGUUAAUUUCAUCUAAAAAUAUUACAUUAUAGUUUAUGGCAUUACACAAUCAUGUUGUGCAAAUUAAUGAGAAUCAUCUUCUUUUUCAAUUUCAUCAUCAUCAUAUUCAUCGCAAUCUUCUAUGUUGAUUUGAUAUAGAUUUCAUCUAUAUCAUAAUCUUCAUUGACUUGUGUAUGUUUAUUGGUUCUUAAAACAUCAUUUAACUCCUCAACGUCAACGUCAAUAUCAACAAAAAUAUUCUCAGCGACGUGAAAAUUUGAAUUUUUUUCUAAGUCAUUAGAUGGAACAACUCGAUAUGGAUCAACUAACUAGUCAAGUUGAAAGACAUCAUCUCUUACAAUUAAUUCAUCGUUGCCAUUUUAAACAACUUGGACAUGACCUUUGGGUUUGGUUUUUAUUACAGAUAACCAAUCAACUGUUGAACGAUCAUUUCUAAAUGAAGGAGUGUAUGUGUAAUAAACUUUUUAUUAUUAUUUGGUGAAAACAAAGACAUUGUCAACGUUGUGAAGUCUAGCCUUUGUAUUAAUUUCGACCAAACUAUGAUGGAGAUCUACUCUGAUUCCUCUAUCAGUGAUGUCAUACCAAUAGCAUUUAAAUCAAAAGACUAUAUUUGGCUUGCUAUGAUAUUGCAAUUCAAUGACCUCUUUUAACUUUUCAUGGUAGUCAACUUCAAACUCAUUAGAAGUUGAUCCCUUAACACAUACCUCAUUGUUAUGUAUCUUUCUACCUUGACUAUACUCUUUAGUAUUAAACACAUCUAUUGAUGAAAUACCCAUUAAAGCACUUCACCUUUCUUUCAAGACCAAAACUUAGUAAAUUCAAAGUAACACUAGCAUUCCCUUCCAAUUGAUAAACCUGGUACAUGAAUUACAUCUCUAUCACAGUUAACGAGAAAUGUAUAAUAAAAUUAAAUAUCCUGAGAUAUAAGAAUAAUUAAAUAGCCUUUACAUGUGUUAUGAAACACAUGGAAAAUUGUUCAUCUUAUAGUCGAAAGAUUUAAAAUUCAGUCAGCUAUAAGUUUUUGGACAGUCAAAAUUAACGAUGUUGCCUACGAGGAAUUCAUCAAUCUAUCAAUUUAUGAUCGUAUAAGAGAUAAAUUGUUCGAAAGUAACAACAUGUGGAGUAUUAUACAUACUGAAUAAAAGAUCUCAGUUGAUCACAAUUCAUCUCAAUUCAUUACUCGUAAGGGUAUAAAUUAUAUAUUAUAAACUAACUCUUUUCAAAUGGCAUGAUUUUAUAACAAUAAAUUUUCAAAGGUUUGAUAAAAGUAGUAUCUUCUUUUGUCUUUGUUUUCUUCAUGGUUUGACUAUACUCCAAAAAUCCAUUCAUGAAAUAAUACAUGGAAUUCACUUCUUUUUUUAUAAUAGUAACUCUCCCUUUACCUUUACAAAUCAAACUCCUAAUUCACUUUUUUUAUUGAUCAAUAAGAAAACACAUAAAAAGUUCAUAACUUUGAUUUUAAUUCUUGGUAUUUUUUAAUUUAUGCGAAAAUAAAAUGGUAAAUUAAUCAAGACUCAUUUUUAUUGGUUUAAGUUUUGUACUUAAUUCUAAUUUAUUUAUUCCAUGUAUAAGUAUUAAUAAUAUUGUUAUCCUAUUAAAUAUCUAGAAUUAUACAUAAAUUAUAUUGGUAUAAAUAUGUGUUGAGAGUAUUGUAAUCUAAGUCCAUGGAUUCAUAGGAUUUUCUCUACUACAAGAGUUAUAUAUAUAUAUAUAUAAGAAUGAGAUAUUAUUUUCUUUCUAAAAGAACUUAGCAAUGCUCUAGCCCAAUAUUAUUGAAGUUGGGGUAUUACAAUUCCCAUCCUUCUAUUUUCUCUUAUAAAUUCAUACCGAUUUAGGUUAUGUAGUUAUAUAGAUAUUCUUAGAUAAAAUUUGAUUAUUGUAGCAAUAUAAAAAAAUAAUAAUUAAAACAAAAAAGAUGAGAUGAUAAAAAAAACGAAGAUAAAACUUUGUUUAAUAAUAGAGUAUAAGACAGAGUAGUUGUUUCUGUAUUUUAUUUAAUUAAAAAUAGACAAGACUAAACAAAAUACAAUAUAUAUAUAUAUAUAGAGAGAGAGAGAGAGAGAGAGAGAUUUUAUUUAACAUGCAAACAUGAGCAGGAUCAUCAAAUAAAUAUUUAGUUCCCGUAUUGACUUAGUACUUCUAAUAGGAAAAAUCAUUUAAAUUAAAAGGCAAGAACUUAUAGAUUAAAAGACAGAAAAAAGUCAUUUCAUUCUAUAUACAGAAGGUACGUAGUUGCUCAUGCUAUUUGAAAGAAAAGAAACCUAGUGUCUGUUAUUUGGAGAAUGAUUGGCCAAUCAAGAAAAAGAAAUGGAAGGAAGAAAGAAAGAAAUGAGAAAUCUUUUCCAUCUAAUGCUAAAGGCCUGACUAGUGGUGGAAAUGUAGCCUGAUUUUGAAUGCACAUUUACUCAAAUAUGUUACGUUUUUUACCGGAUAUAUAUAUUAUGAUAAUAACUUAUUCAAACAAUUAAUAAGAACUAAUAUAGGAGAUGAAAUCAUUGUUCCCUCUUUGCAUGUUACUGUUUAUUGGAAUAAUAAUAUAUAUAUAUAUAUAUAUAUAUAUAUAUAUAUUAAAUAUUUUAAUAUUAUAUUUAUUAGAAAUUGAAAUUUGUUAUUUAUUUUGGUUUUCUUCGUAUAAGGCUAACAUGAUUUUGGAAAAAGAUCAUAUGAAGUUCAAUUUUAUGAUUGUUUAUUUUUUUUAUAUCAUAUUAUUAAAUAAAAAAUAAAUGUAAAAUCAUUGUUUCCCUCCUCAUGUAUUCAUUGGAAUAACAUGUUUUUUUUCUUUUUAAAAUUUUCAUAUUUAAAUAUUAGGUUUAUUGGAAAUUAAAAUUCGUUAUUUAUUUUGGUUUUCUUCGUAUGGAGUUAUCAUAGUCUCAGAAAAAAAAAUUGAAAUUGAAUUGGUGCUUAGUUUUACAAUCAUCUACUUUAUCCUAUCAUAUUUUUAAAUAAAAAAUGGUAUAUCAUAUUGUUAAAUAAAAAAUAAAGGGAAAUUUAUUGUUCAUAAGUAACAUGUUUUUUUUCCUUUUAUUUUUCUCUUUCCUUUUAUUUCCUUUUUUUUUUUUCAUUUUUGUAUUUCAAUAUUGAGUUUCUUAGAAAUUAUACUUUGUUAUUUAUUUUGGUUUUUUUUUAUAUAGGGUUAUCAUGGUCUUGAAAUAACAUCAUGUCAUUAGGUUGGUGCUUAGUUUUAUGAUCGUCUACUUUUUAUAUCAUAUUAUUAAAUAAAAAAUGGAUCUGAAAUAAUAUUAUGAAUUGAGCUUAAAGAUUUAUUUUAAUUUAUUUUUUAUGAAGUUAUCGUGAUCUUGGAAAAACAUAUAACAAUGAGUUAGUGCUCGGUUUUUUUAGCAUCUAUUUUUUUAUCAUAUUAUUAAAUAAAAAAUAAUUAUAUAAAAAAACAUAAUUAUUGAGAAUUAGACUUCAUGAUUUAUUUUCAUUUACUUUUUAUGGGGUUAUCGUGGUCUCAUAAAAAUAUCUUGGUAUUGAGUUUGUGAUCGGUUUCGCAAGCGUCUAUUUUUUAUCAUAUAAUUAAACAAAAAUAAUUUUAAAAACGUUAUUCAUCACAAUGGCGUUAAUGACCUAGAUUACAAGUUUAUCUUGAAACUAUUUUUAAAAUCAAACAUGUUUUUACUAGUCGUCUAAGUUUUUUUUUAACUCACCAAGUCAUUUAGAUCAUGCCAAGGUAACUUCUAUUCAAUUUAAUUUGAACCUUUAGCUAGAUAAAAAGAAUUUCUCUUAGUAUAAUUUCUCUUAGUAUGAACAAUAUGUUUUACAUGUAAAACAAUCUUGGUCCUGCCACAACAUAGCAACAUAGCGUGGAGAAUUAUCUAGUUGCGACUAUUCUUGCAUAGUAACACAAAAACUUUAACAAAGAAAUCUUGACCAAGGUAUCAUCAUUUGACAAAUUUUUUUAAUUUUUGAGAGAAAAAAAAAAGAAUUGAUAUAUAGUUUUUAGGUUCUCAAGAGCUGCUAUGAUAUUGAGAAAUGCACAUGUAAAAAGGCCAUUGCAAAUUUAAGAAAAUUUGGCUUAACAUGGCUUAUGAAAACUAUCUUUAACUUUUAAUCAAAAUUAUUUUUUAUAAAUAACUUAUAAAGAAAUAAGUUAAAUUUUAAAUUUGAAGCGUUUUUAAUAAAAAUAAUUUAAAUUAUUUUUUUUAAAAAGUACAAGUUAGAAUUCAUAAGUUAAAAAUUGUAAGUUGCUUUCAUAACAAAUUUUUAUUUAAAUUAAAAUUCAUUUCUAACUAAAUAUAUUUAUGAUUUUUUUCAUGAAUCAAAAGUUAACAAAAAAAAAAAAAAAAAAGGGGAUUUUACUAUAUAUCUCCUCACAAAACACUAUUUACUUGAAUAGUAUCUUCUUUUCCCUUCUUUUGUUUUAUUCCCCAUCUAUAUUUUUCUUCUUCUUCUUCUUUUUCAAAUUUUAAUUUUAUUCUGUAAUAUUAGAUUUAUUAGGGAUUGAGUUUCAUAUUUUUUUUCAAUUUAUUUUUUAUGCGGUUAUGUUAGUCUCAUGACCCGGACCACGAGUUUGACUCGGUUUACUCGAGUUUUUCUUCCUUUUCCUUAUUGUUUUUUUUUUCAAUUUCAUCCUUCAAUAGUGGGUUGAUUUUGAAUUAGGUUUCUUGAUUUGUUUUGGUUUGAAUUCAAUGAGAUUAUCUUCAUUUCAUGACUCGGGUUGACUAGAGUUUUUUUUUCCUGUUUUUUAAUCAUUUUUUUUUCAAUUUCAUCUUUAAAUACUAGUUAAUUGAGAAUUGAACUUCAUAAUUUGUUUUAAUUUUUUUUCUAUUGGGUUAUCCUGGUCUAAUGAUCUAGGUCACGAGUUUGGUAUGUUAACCCGAGUUGACUUGAGUUAUUUUUUUGUUCUAUUUUUAAUUCAUUUUUUCUAAAUUUCAUCAUUUAAUAUUGAGUUUCUUGAAAAUUAGAUUUUAUAAUUUGUUUUUAUUUAUUUUUCAUGGGGUUAUCAUAUAUCAUGACUUGGCAUGUGGAUUAGCUUGUUCACCCGAAUUGACCCGAAUCGAUCCAUUAUUUUUUUGUCUCAGUAUUUAUAUAAAAAUAAAAUAUCAUCUUAAAUAUUUAUUAUGAGUCAAACCUUAUUUUUACUAGUCAUCUGAGUUGUUUUUGAUCUUGUUAAAUCAAUAAGAUCACAUCACAUCAAUCUCAUAUAUUUAAAAUUAUUUUUUACUAGAAAGAACAUUAAUAAUACCUAAAUAUAUUAAAUAUCUUUUUAUAUGAAAAAAAUAUUUAAUCCAACUUGCAAUAUAACACUGAAGAAAAUAAUCUUAUCAUUAUUGUAUUUUAUUACAUAAUAUGUUAGUUGGCUACAAGUGGAGGGAAGACAAUACAUGUUAGCUUUUGUCCUGUAUGUUCUUCCCUUGGUAUCAUUUAAAGUUUGGCACAUAGAUUUUUUCCACCCUGACCCAGAGUCGACUUGGACUUGGAUCCUUCUUCUAGGUUGUAAGAAGUUUGUGGACACAAAACUUCAAUGUGAAAAUAGGAAUUGUGGCCAUGAAUGUAUGAUACUAUAGUGUCGAGUAAUUUUAAAAGUAUUUUCUCUCACCCGUGAACAAUACGGAAGGAAUUAAAAUGCUCCCACAUGCAUAUUUGAAUAUAAGAAUUAUUAAUUUAAAAUUGGAGAAAGAGAUUUAUGUGCCUAUAAUAAUAUGAUUCAGCCAAUGCAUAAUAGACAUGAUAGCCUUUUGAUUGUUCUUGAUUUGUUGAUUUUAAUCAACAAAAGUGACAAUGGCAGCAUGAAUUUUCCACCUUGCAAUAGCAUUGUCAGCUUUAUUCCGUUUAAAGUUUUUCUUGUCGUUGAGAUUUAUAUAAGAAAAUUUUUCUUAAUAAGUAAAUAAACUGAUGGAAUCAAUAUAAUAAAAAGAUAUUUAAGUUAAUAUUAACCUUAAAUCUUCCAAACCAUACAUUAAUCAUAGAUUUUCAUUCAAAAUGUUUGGAAACCUAACUCCAUUAAAAUAAUAUAAUUUCCAUUGAAGAUUUCAUUGUUGAUGUUAUAGUUCUGAGAGCCUCAAUAUUUGUAAACCUAAAAUUACAUUCAUUAAUUGUUUGUUAACACCAACAAAUCAAUUAGCCAACCAUAUUAAUAAGAAAAAAUUAGAAAUAAUUUAAAAAAUGCCAAAAAUAUAUAUACAAUCAUUAAAGAACAUAAAAAUUAAAAAUUUCCAAUAACAUUUAUACAAUUAUUAAUAACAAAAGAAUAAAAAAAUAAAAAACAAUUUUCAUCAACAUUUAUGCAAUUAUUUAUAGAAAAAAACUUUAAAAAAUUUAAAAAAUUGCCAUCAACAUUUAUACAAUUAUUUAUAAUAGAAAGUUUUUUAAAAAAAAUCCACUAACAUUUACACAAUUAUUGAUAAUGAAAAAAAUAAAAAAACUUCCCAACAAAAUUUAUACAAUUAUUAAUAACAAAAAAUGAAAAAAAAAACACGAAAAGAGAAGGAAAAGGAAGAAUCUUACCUUAAUGUUGAAUUUUCCCGAGCCUAAAAGAGAAAACAAUUUGAACAAAUCAUUAAAUAAAUAGAGAAGAAGAGAAGGAGAAAAUAUAUCUACGCGCGGAGAAGAAGAGAGGAGAAGAUAAUGGGUUGAGAAUAGAAAGAGAGAGAGAAGAAAGAGAAAGAUGAAGAUUUGGGAGGAGGAGAAAAGAAGUUGCAAAGGAAGAGAGAAGAAGAGAAUUGUGCCCAUCUGUUCUGAUUUUAGGGAUUUUAGUAUUUUAAUUUGAGGUUUUUUUACUGAUGGACAAUUAAAUAUUAAUAUUUUUAAUUUUUCUAUCAAUAUUCGUUUGCAAAGUCUAAUUUAAAUUUUCAAUUUAAUAAAAAAUUUUCAGAAUCACACCAACUAUCACUAACUACUUUUUUUCGUAUGCCAGUGAUUCCAUAUGUACUGAUCAAUAAUAAACAAUGCAAGUGAGAUAUGAACAGUACCUUAGAUCUCGAAAAAAUAUCGACAUUCAUUUACAAUCAGUGAUUUCAUAUAUAUAUUGAUCAGUAAUAAAUAGUGCAAAUAAGAAAGGAAUAGUAUCUUAGCUCUCGGGAAAAUACCGACAUACAUUAACCGUUGGUGAUUCUGUAUGUACUGAACUGUAAAUAAACAAUGCAAGUGAAAAGUAAACAGUAUCUUACCUCUCGAAAAAAUACCGACGGACAUUAAUUCUCGAUGAUCCCGUGUGUAUUGAACACAAUAAACAAUGUUAGUGAGAAUGGAACAAUUUCAAUGCUUUCUGGAAUAUAUCGACGGACUUAAUUCAUCGGUGUAUCUUUUGUAUUUUUCAUGUCCAUCGGUAUUUUCAUUCGUGCAAAACAGUUUCUAUUGCUAGAUUGUAUCUGGAUUCUUUAUGUAUCCAUCCUACAAUUACUUAAAAUCACUACAGCACACAGAGCACAAUAACACUAGUUCUAUCUAUAAAAAUACAUUAAAUAAAUGUUUCUUUGUAAUUUAAUAAUAAAUAAACGUUAUUGUCAUUAUAUUAAAGUUAAUUUCAUCCAUAAAUAUUACAUUACAGUUUAUAGCAUUAUACAUUAGUGUUGUGCAAAUUAAUAAGAAUCAUCUUCUUUUUCAAUUUCAUCAUCGUCCAUCAUAAUUUUCUAUGUUGAUUUUAUUGCUAAUAUUAUCUUCAUUGACUUAUGUAUGUCCGCUAGUUCUGAAAACACCAUUUAACUCCUCAAUGUCAACAUCAAUAAAAGUAUUCUCGGCGACAUGCAAAUUUGAAUUUUCUUCUAAGUCAUUAAAUGGAGCAACUCAAUAUGGAUCAACUAAUUCGUCAAGUGGAAAGACAUCAUCUCCUACAACUAAUUCAUCGUUGCCAUCUUGAACAACCUGGACAUGACCCCUGGGUUUGGUUUUUAUUACGGAUACCCAAUCAACUGUUGAACGAACCUUUCUAAAUGAAGGAGUGUAUGUGUAAUAAACUUUUUGUUAUUUCUUGGUGAAAACAAAGACAUUGUCGACGUUGCGGAGUGUAGUCUUUGUAUUAAUUUCAACCAACCAUGAUGAAGAUCUACUCUGAUUCCUCUAUCAGUGGUAUCAUACCAAUAACAUUUGAAUAAAAAGACUAUAUUCUGAUUGCUAUAAUAUUGCAAUUAAAUGACCUCUUCACACAUCCCAUGGUAAUCAACUUUAAACUUAUUAGAAGUCGAUCCCUUAACACAUAUCUCAUUGUUAUAUGUCUUUCUACCCUAACUAUACUAUUUAGUAUUAAACACAUAUAUUGAUGAAAUACCUGUUAUAGCACUUCACCAUCUUUCAGGACCAAAACUUAGUAAAUUCAAAGUAACACCAACAUUCUCUCCCAAAUGAUAAAUCUGGUACAUGAAUUACAUCUUCAUCAUAGUUAAUAAGAAAUGUGUAAUGAAAUCAAGUAUCCUGAGAUAUAAGAAUAAUUAAAUAGUCUUUACAUGUGUUCUAAAUCACGUGGAAAAUUGUUCAUCUUAUAGUUGAAAGAUUUGAGAUUUAAUCAGUUGUGAGUUAUUGGACAGUCAAAAUUAACGAUGUUGUCCACGAGGAAUUCAUCAAUCUAUCAAUUUAUUAUAGUAUAAGAGAUAAAUUAUUCAAAAGUAACAACAUAUGGAGUAUUAUAUAUACUGAGACUGAAUAAAAGAUCUCAGUUCAUCGCAGUUCAUCACAUGUCAGGUCAUAAAUUAAAUAUUAUAAACGGAUUUACCAAUGGAUUUACUGAUGGAUUUAAUCGACGGAUAUAAAUUCAUCGGUAAUUUUGUCUGUAAAAACAACAUGUCAUCUUACUUUUUGGAUUUUUUUCCAUUUCUUUUUUUCCUACUGUAAUUCUCUAGGUGGAUUCAUUUGAUUUUUUUAAAAUGAAGAAAUGACACAUCGAAUUUAGAAUAAGCGGUAGAAAAUGUUUUGAAGAUAUUGAAGAGUCACGCCUCUUGAUCUUGAAAGUGGUAAUGGGAUUAUUAACAAGGAAUGCAUUUGGUUAAUAAUCAAUUGUAAAUAAAUGUGUUUAAAAGACCAAAUUGAUUACACUUCAUUUAUUUUCUCUUUCUAAUUUAUUUAUGGUUAUUCCAUCUUUCUAUGGUUUGUACAUCAAAUCAAAACACUCAUACCUUUUUGUAUAGGGCAAAGCUUUAACUUACAAGAUUUAAGAUAUGAGCAUCAUAAAAGUUUUUCAUGUAAAAGUAUUAAUAAUAUUGUUAUCCUAUUAAAUAUGUAGAAUUAUACAUAAAGUAUAUUGGUAUAAAUAUGUGUUGAGAAUAUUAUACUCUAAAUCCAUGGAUUCAUAGGACUUUCUCUACAAUGAGAGUUAUAUGAUAUAAGAAUGAGAUAUUAUUUUCUUUCAAACAGAACUUAGAAAUACUCAAGCCCAAUAUUAUUGAAGUUGGGAUAUUACAAAUCCCAACCUUCUAUUUUCUCUUACAAAAUCAUAUUGAUAUAGGUUAUAUAGUUAUAUAGAUAUUUUUAGGUAAAGUUUGAUUAUUGCUACAUGACAAAAAGAUGGAGAUAUUUGGGAUAAAAAAGACAAGAUGAUGCAAAAGACGGAGAUAAAACUUUGUUUGAUAGUAAAGUAUAAGACAUGAUAGUUGUCUCUGUAUUUUAUUUAAUUAAAAGUAGACACGACUAAAUAUAUAUAUAUAUAUAUAUAUAUAUAUAUAUAUAUAUAAACUUAACUUGUUUGGAACAAUAAUUAGGGAUUUGUGUUUUCACUUUAUCUUAUAAUGAACAUUAAAAUUCUAUUUGAAGUAAUUUAAGAUAGUAACUUCAAAAUACAAAAAUAUUUGUUUUACCCUUAAUAUAUAUUACCAUGAAACUUAAAAAAUUUGAAACAAAAAUUACAAAUUUUUUUUCACUUUAUUUUAUAUUAAGUAUUAAGAUUUUAUUUAACAUGCAAACAUGAGCACAUAUAAUGGAUCAUCAUAUAAAUAUUUAGUUCCCAUAUUGACUUAGUACUUCUAAUAGGAAAAAUCAUUUAAAUUAAAGGGCAAAAACUUACAAAUUAAAAGAUAGAAAAAAAAAUCAUUUCAAUCUAUAUAUAGAAGGUAGUUGCUCAUGCUAUUUGAAAGAAAAGAAACCUACUAUAUAUAACCAUGAGCCCAAAUGGAAUCAAGAAUUAUGUGCUCGAAUACAAUGGUAUGGUCAGUUUUUUUUUCUCACACAACACAAAUGAUCACAUAACACAUAGCAAAACACCACACCGACUCUAUUUGUGAGAAUGAUGUUUGCGAGGAUCAAUAAUGCGCACAACAAUCCAUGUUUUGUAUAUUUUUUCAUGGUAUCUUGCCUUAUUUUACCAUGUAAAAUUAUUUAUCUAUAUAUUUAAUGUAUUAGAAAUUUAUUUUAACAAUACAUGGUUAAGAGAUACAUUUGAAGUCAAAUUCAAAACGGAAUUUGUUCACUUUUAAGGUUAAGAUUUUGAUGGAAACUAUGCUCUAAUAAAAAUACUUUAACUUGAAAUCCUAACUUGUUUAAAACAAAUUAUAAGUGAAUUAUAAAUUGAUUUUUAUAGAACCCAUAGUUAGCAUGAUUUGCAAACCCAGUAACCUUCAAUUCCAUAUGAAUAGAUUACAAGAUUUUCUUGUAACUGUGGAAAGUUGGAAAAUUAACAUGGUUUUUUUAAAACAAAUUAUAAUUAAAUAUUAGGUUUAUUGAAAAUUAAAAUUCAUUAUUUAUUUUGGUUUUCUUGGUAUGGAGUUAUUAUAUUCUUAGAAAAAAAAUAUGGAAUUGGGUUUAUGCUUAGUUUUACAAUUGUCUACUUUUUCCUAUCAUGUUUUUAAAUAAAAAAUGAUCUAUCAUAUUAUUAAAUAAAAAAUAAAGGGAAAAUUAUUAUUCAUAAGUAACAUGCUUUUUUUCCUUUUAUUUUUCUCUUUCCUUUUUAUUUUUUUUUCAUUUUGGUAUUUUAAUAUUGAGUUUCUUGGGAAUUAUACUUCGUUAUUUAUUUUGAUUUUUUUAUAUGGGGUUAUCAUGAUCUUGAAAAAAUAUUUUGUCAUUAAGUUAGUGCUUAGUUUUAUGAUCAUCUACUUUUUAUAUUAUUUUAUUAAAUAAAAAAUGGAUCUGAAAUAAUAUUAUGAAUUGAGCUUUAUAAUUUAUUUCAAUUUAUUUUUUAUGAGGUUAUCAUGAUCUUAGAAAAACAUACAACAUUGAGUUGGUGCUCGGUUCUUUUAGCAUCUAUUUUUUUAAUCAUAUUAAUAAAUAAAAAAUAAUUAUAGAAAAAACAUAAUUAUUGAGAAUUAGGCUUCAUGAUUUAUUUCUAUUUACUUUUUAUGGGGUUAUUGUGGUCUCAAAAAAAUAUCUCGGUAUUGAGUUCGUGAUCGGUUUUGCAAGCGUCUAUUUUUUUUCAUAUAAUUAAAUAAAAAUACUUUUAAAAAAAGUUAUUAAACUUAAUGGAGUUAAUGACCCAAAUUGCCAGUUUAGUAGGUUAACCUAAGUUGACUCGGGUUGAUCUAAUGUGUUUCUAUCUUAAUAAUCUUUUAAGAAAAGAUGUCAUAUUGAAACUAUUUUUAAAGUUAAACCAUGUUUUUACCAGUCUUCUAAGUUUUUUUUAACGCACCAAGGCGUUUUGGUCUUGCUAAGGCAACUCCCAUUCAAUUUAAUUUGAACUUUAAGCUAAACAAGAAGUAUGGUUGAGAGGUUUCAUGUUUGACUUGCCAAACUGGGUUAUGGUUGAGAGGUUUCAUGUUUGACUUGCCAAACUGGGUUUAUGACACUGUCAAAUAAUUUCUCUUAGUAUGGACAUUAUUUUUUACAUGUAAAAAAAUCUUGGUCCUGCCACAACAUAGCAUUAAGAAUUAUCUAAUUGCGACUAUUCUUGCAGAGUAACACAAAAACUUUAACAAAGAAAUCUUGACCAAGGUAUCAUCAUUUGACAAUUUUUUUAAUUUUUGAGAGAAAACAAAAGAAUUGAUAUAUAUUUUUUAGGUUCUCAAGAGUUGCUAUGAUAUUGAGAAAUGCACAUGUAAAAAGGCCAUUGCAAAUUUAAGAAAAUUUGGCUUAACAUGGCUUAUGAAAACUAUCUUUAACUUUUAAUCAAAGAUAUUUUUUUAUAAAUAACUUAUAAAAUAAAUAAGUUAAAUUUUAAAUUGGAAGAAUUUUUAAUAAAAAUAAUUUAAUUUUUUUAAAGUAUAAGUAAGAAUUCAUAAGUUAAAAUUUUUAACUUGCUUUCAUAACAAAUUUUUAUUUAAAUUAAAAUUCAUUUCUAACUAAAUAUAUUUAUGAUUUUUUUCAUGAAUCAAAAUUUAACAAAACAAAAAAAAGAGGAGGGGAUUUUAGUGUAUAGCUCAUCACAAACACUAUUUACUUGAAUAGUAUUUUCUUUUCCAUUUCUUUGUUUUUUUCCCAUCUAUGUUUUCCUUCUUUCUAUUUUUUCAAAUUUCUUCAAUCGAGUAAUAUUAGAUUUAUUUGGGAUUGAGCUUCAUAUUUUUUUGAAUUUAUUUUUAUGAGGUUAUGUCAGUCUCAUAACCUGAACCACGAGUUUGACUUGGUUUACUUGAGUUUUUCUUCCUUUUCCUGAUUGCUUUUUUUUUUUCAAUUUUAUCCUUGAAUAUUGAGUUGAUUCGGAAUUAGGCUUUUUGAUUUGUUUUAGUUUAAAUUCAAUGAGAUUAUCCUCAUGUCAUGACUCGGGUCACGAGUUUAGUAUGUUAACUUAGAUUGACUCUAGUUAUUAUUUUGUCUUUUUUAAACAGAAUUCUUAAUUUCAAUUUCAUCAUUCAACAUUAGAUUUAUUGGGGACUGAACUUCAUAAUUUCUUUAAAUAUACAUUUCAUGAGGACAUCCCAGUUUCAUGACCCGAAUCGCGAGUUUGACGAGUUAACUCGGUUGACUCAGGUUUUUUCAGUUUUCUAAUUGAUUUUUUUUUCUUGAUUUCAUCCUUCAACAUUGGGUUAAUUGGAAAUUAGGCUUCGUGAUUUGUUUGGUUUAUUUUCUAUGAAGUUAUCCUCAUCUCAUGACUCAGGUUACUUAUUUGACGAGUCAAACCGGGUUAACUUGAGUUUUUUUCUCUAUUUUUUAAUUAUUUUUUUCAAUUUCAUCUUUAAAUAAUAGGUUGAUUAAGAAUUGAACUUCAUAAUUAAAUAUAUUUAUGAUUGUUUUCAUGAAUCAAGAGUUAACAAAAAGAAAAGAGGAGAUUUUACUAUAUGAUCCUCACAAAACACUAUUUACUUGAAUAGUAUUUUCUUUUCCCUUUCUUUGUUUUUUUCCCAUCUAUGUUUUUCUUCUAUUUUUUUUCAAAUUUCAAUUCCAUCCUGUAAUAUUAUAUUUAUUUGGGAUUGAGCUUCAUAUUUUUUUUCAAUUUACUUUUUAUGAGGUUAUAUCAGUCUCAUGACCCGGACCACGAGUUUGACUCGGUUUACUCAAGUUUUUUUUCCUUUUCCUGAUUUGUUUUCUCAAUUUUAUCCUUCAAUAUUGAGUUGAUUCAGAAUUAGGCUUCUUGAUUUGUUUUGGUUUGAAUUCAAUGACAUUAUCUUCGUUUCAUGACUUAGGUCACGAGUUUCGUGGGUUAACUUGGAUUGACUUGAGUUAUUUUUUGUAUCUUUUUUUAAUAUAAUUCUUAAUUUUAAUUUCAUUAUUCAACAUUAUGUUUAUUGGAAACUGAACUUUAUAAUUUCUUUCAAUAUACUUUUAUGAGGUCAUCCCAGUUUCUUAACCCGAACCAUGGGUUUGAUGAGUUAACUUGGUUGACUCAGGUUUUUUCACUUUUCUAAUUGUUUUUUUCUCUCGAUUUCAUUCUUCAACAAUGGGUGAAUUGGGAUUUAGGUUUCGUGAUUUGUUUUUUGUUUUUUAUGAGGUUAUCCUCAUCUCAUGACUUAAGUUACUGGUUUGGUGAGUCAAACCGAGUUUACUAGAUUUUUUAUCCUGUUUUUUAAUCUUCUUUUUUUCAAUUUCUUCUUUAAAUAUUAGGUUGAUUGAGAAUUGAACUUCAUAAUUUGUUUCAAUUUUCUUUCUAUUAGGUUAUCCCGGUCUAAUGAUCUAGGUCACGAGUUUGACAGGUUAACCCGAGUUGAAUGGGUUAUUUUUUUGUUCUAUUUUUAAUAAUUUCAUCAUUCAAUAUUGAGUUUGUUAGAAAUUAGAUUUCAUAAUUUGUUUUGAUUUAUUUUUCACAGGGUUAUCAUGUAUCAUGACUUAGCAUAUGGGUUAGCUGAAUAACCCGACUUGAUCUGAAUCGAUCUAAUAUUUUGUUAUCUCAAUAUUUAUAUAAAAAAAUCUCAUCUUGAAUAUUUAUUAUGAGACAAACCAUAUUUUUACUAAUCAUUUGUAUUGCUUUUGAACUUGUUAAAUCAAUAAAAUCAUAUCAGAUAAAUCCUCAUAUAUUUUAAAAUUAUUUUUUACUACAAAAACACAUUAAUAAUAUCUAAAUAUAUUAAAUAUCUUUUUAUAUUAAAAACAACUUGCAAUAUAACACGCGAGAAAAUAAUCUUAUCAUUAUUGUAUUUUCUUACAUAGGAUGUUGGGUGGCUACAAGUAGAGGGAAGACAAUUAAAAGUAGAGGGAAGACAAUUAAAUGUUAGCUUUUGUCCUGUAUGUUCUUCCCUUGGUAUUAUUUAAAGUUUGGCACAUAGAUUUUUUCCACGCUGAACCAGAGUCGACUUGGACUUGGAUCCUUCUUCUAGAACUUUUUGGACACAAAACUUCAAUGUGAAAUUAAGAAUAGUGGCCAUGAAUGUAUUGGUCGUUUAUUUUUAUCUUUUAAAAGUAUUUAAAAAUAAAAUAAAAUUUUUAUUUAUUUUUCUUUUAUUUCAAAUUAAUAUGUUUUUGAUAUUAUAGUGUAGAGUAAUUUUUAAAAUUUUUUAUUUUAAUUAAAAUUAUAUUGAUUUUUUAUAUUAAAACUAUUUAAAAAUUUUAAAAAUAUUAAUUUAAUAUUUUUUAAAUAAGUGUUAAUGCAAAAGCAAACCAUCACUGUAAUACUCAGAAAAACUGGUCCAUGUUUCACAUCUAAACAAAUAUCUGACUCCUAUUUUCUCUCACCCGUAAACAAUACGAAAGGGAAUUAUAGUGUAGAGUAAUUUUUAAAAGUAUUUUCUCUCACCGUGAACAAUACGGAAGGAAUUAAAGUGCUCCCACUUGCAUAUUUGAAUAUAAGAAUUAUUAAUUUAAGAUUGCAGAAAGAGAUUUAUGUGCCUAUAAUAAUAUGAUUUAGCCAAUGCAUAAUAGACAUGAUAGCCUUUUGAGCUGUGAAAUUGCUCAUAAAAAAUCAUUCUAGAGAUUGUUGUUGAUUUUAAUCAAGAAAAGUGACAAUGGCAGCAUGAUAAUUGUUCUUACCAAACAACAUACAAGUUGCAAGCCAAUCCUGGGCCUCAUGGGGAGUUCUCAAACUAUAAUCCCUCCAAAAAAAAAUUGUUUCCUCACUGUUUUGUUCUUGUUUCUUUCAACUUCAAGUGCCCAGAACGUUUUGCGAAGAGGUUCAUCUCUAUCAGUAGAAGAUGAUUCGGACAUCCUUAUCUCACCAGAUAAAACAUUCUCUUGUGGAUUCUAUGGGAUGGGACAAAAUGCUUAUUGGUUCUCUAUUUGGUUCACCAAUUCCAAGGACAGGACUGUGGUUUGGAUGGCCAACAGAGACAGACCUGCCAAUGGCCGAGGUUCAAGAGUUUCUCUACGACGAGACGGUGCAAUGGUCUUGACAGAUGUUGAUGGCUCCAUCAUAUGGGAGACUAACACCACCUCCACUGAUGUUGGAAGAGCAGAGCUUCUGGACACUGGUAACCUUGUUCUUAAAGACCCUGGUGGUAAGAUUCUAUGGCAAAGCUUUGAUUUUCCUACUGAUACACUUCUUCCAAACCAGUUAUUUACAAAGAGGACAAAGCUGGUUGCUAGAUUGCAUAUCGGGUCUUAUGCCUCUGGAUAUUUUAGUUUCUUUUUUGAUAAUGAUAAUGUGCUGAGGUUGAUAUAUGAUGGUCCUGAUAUUUCAAGCAUAUACUGGCCUAAUCCUGAUUUUGAUGUGUUCGGAAAUGGUAGAACAAAUUAUAAUAGCAGCAGAACUGCAGUUUUUGAUGAAAUGGGCCAUUUUAUAUCUAGUGAUCAGCUCCAGUUCAGCGCUCCUGACACGGGUUUAUUAAGGAUCAAAAGGAGGCUAACAAUGGACCAUGAUGGGAAUCUCAGGCUUUAUAGCCUGAACAAUGAAACCGGAUUGUGGGUGAUAUCAUGGCAAGCUCUUUCUCAGCUUUGUACUGUUCAUGGAAUUUGUGGGAUAAACUCGAUUUGUGUAAA
Molecule: long non-coding RNA, 56917 nt
Filed under: Populus trichocarpa (black cottonwood)
Lineage: Eukaryota; Viridiplantae; Streptophyta; Magnoliopsida; Malpighiales; Salicaceae
Description: long non-coding RNA (PTRI_LNC003679)
Source: RNAcentral